CAACUCCACAUCAUGCUAACAAUCAUAGUUAAGAUAUCAACUUCCCAAGCAUUUGCUAAAUAAAAUCUAGUGUUAAUAUCAGUGUGGGUGCGUGUGUGCAGCAGCAUUUGAAACAUAAAAAGCAAGAGUACAACAGCAAAAGUUAUAACUUACAUUAUUUUGAAUUUUGACCUGAUCGAGGGAAAGGAAAAACUGCUGGUAUGCAUCCUUGUCAGCCAAAAGCUUCCGUAGCUCAUCAACACUAAACACAUUAAAUACCAUUUUCAGACAUAUAUCACAAGCUGCAAGCAAGGAAUAACAACACAAUUUAGCAGGUUUUAUACCACAGGGAAGAGAAAAUUUCCACGCCAACUAACUUUAGUAUUUCAAAAUCACAUAAUUAACCAUUAACACUGGAAGGGUGCAAAAUAUGCUACUACUUUUUAGAAUAUAAGUCUCUCAAUUAUACAGACUAAGCAAUAACAGAGUCACUUACUGAAUAAUAUGUGAUUUAACAAGUAUGCUCUUUCAAAGAUUGAUUAAACCAAUGAUUGUGUGAACAAAUCCUGUCUUGAUAUGUAAAACCUAAGUUCUAAGCUUGCCCGUACACCUAAAAUAAAUCCAGGUUUCUUCUUUCUUGUAUUCAGUCAUCAAGUCAUUUUCAACAUUCUUCAGUCUAUCCAAAAAUUCUGAGCUUUGUUUUAUAACCAGCUCAGACAAAACUUAUAACUAUCCAAAACAAUCAUCAACGAAUGGUAUAUUACAAAAGGACUCUAUAAGGAUAUCCAGAUUUCUAAAGUACAAUCUGAAACAAAAGAAGCAGCAAAUGUAGAUAUAUAACAACCUAUAUAUGGGGCGAUAUAGCUAAGAACAUUGUCAUCAGUAAUAAGUUGAAGAGUUGAUCAGCCCUGAAACAGCAAAACCAUAAUUUCUAAAUAAUGAACAGAUAUUUGUAGCACCAAGAUCCCUACCUUUUGUCCUUCAAAACAGCAAUAACACCGGCAGCUUCGGCGGGCGAAACAUGUGAUGGAGACGGUGCCUUUUCUGUAAGCCUUUGGUAGCUCAAACUGCUAGAAGAAGUGCUGCUUGGAGUUCCAGGGCGAGAAGAGGUUGGAGAGUUAACUACAGAUGGAGGGUACCAUGACUGUGAAGGAGUAACAACCUCCGGCCGCGGCUGAGUUUGUUCCUCCUGAGAUCCCCUGUGAACAUAACCACGGUUAAACCUUCAGCCUCUCCAAAACACAACACCAAUCAAACUACUUGCAUCACAAUUCAUGCAGUUUCCAAUUUAUAAUUGCAGAAACAAAUCAAUUCAAUUGCCAACAAUUUCACAAAUCGAUUCAAUUCAUGAAAUACAUCAAAUUCGCAGAAAAAAAAAAUUGGAAAUUUGUAAACCGACAUAUAUGAUCAGAUAGCAAAAUGAACGAAAACGCCAUAAAAUCAAGCUUCGGCAUCGGAAUUCAACGCUAGGACAAAUAAACCCUAACCAACAUCGAAAAGCAAAAUUACCAGAACUUGAACAUGGACAUGGCUUGAGGAGCUUCUGGACCGUCGGAUCAAUCGAGCUAGGUCAAGGAAUCGAAUCGAAUCGACAGGAAGCUUGAGCUGUACGAAGCAGAGCGAGCAGAGAAACGGAGGAGUUGGAGCACCAAGAGACGACGAGGACUUUCGAAGCUUCGAACUGCCCGGUUAUGUUAGAAAGCACGUAUCGACGGUUACGUCUCCGUCGAGAUUGUGAUACGCGUGGCUUUGGCUGAUUGGUUGAAAACGCGUGAGUAAGACAAGGAUCACAGAAGAUGCAAAGAAACAACUGGGCAGUGUCAUCAACAACUCUGCCCUCAUUGGGCCGUGAUUAUGGGCCUAAAUGGACCCCAAAUUUAUGGUCUAAGUAAAACCCAACAAAUAUACCCAACUGGAGCCCGACAAGCAUCGACCUACGGAUAGUCAACUCUGAUAUUCACACUUACCACUUCUUCUAACAUCGAAAAGAGAAAUACCAUUAUACUGAUAUCUAAUUGGUUUUCAACUGUUUGUUUAAGAUUUGCUUUGUCCAUUUGUGUUUGUUUGGCCAUAGUUAGCUUUAAUUGAAAGGUGGGAUUAAUGAGUGUAGAUUGGAAGAAUUGGACUAUGCUUUUUGGUUGACUAUAAAAAAAAAAAAAAAAAGUACAACUCCAAACAAUACCAUCUCUUUUGAGUCUUUCUAUAUAAUUGUUCUCUCCUUUUAACAAAGUUCUUUUCUUUAACCUCCAAAAAAAAGGAGAAGUUUCCUUGCAGUUUGAUAAUGCAAAAUAAAAUAUAUAGAGGAGAAAAAGGAGAUUCUCAAUUUGGUUGUAAAGAAGCAAUAAUGCAAAAUAUCCCUCAAGCUCAAGGUAUUUAAUGAGAUUUGAAGUACGAUUGGAAGGUAAACAGCAUUAUUAUACCAAAUAUAUGCUUGGCUGGUUAACGACAGUGGAGAGUAGGCUGGCUAAUCGUGUUGGUGGUUAAAAUCUAAAGACAAUGUUUUAAGCUAUAAAAUUAUAUCAUGAAUUUGUGUUAAGGGGGAUUGAGUGGUUGGAUUGAGAGAGAGAAAAAGGACCUAUCGGAUGUGUGAAAAAGACCCAUAUGGUUUCUUAUUAAUUCUCAACUCAGCAUUUAACUUCAAUGUGAAGAACAAUGAUUCCAAUCCAAUGAUGAAAUAUAAGAGACUAGAUUUCCAAAAUAAUACAACGAGCAUUCUCAAAUUAGAAGUGGGAAAUUUCAUUUCAUUCUUACACAUUCAACUCGACAUAGAAAUUUUAACUUUUGCCUUCAAACUUCAAAUCCGAACUUCUUAUCUUCAUUUUGACUCGAAAAUCUUAAGUGCCGACCUUAAACCUCAAAUCUGAAUCUCUGAAUUACGAAUCAAAAAUGGCAUUAUGAUUAUUUGCAUUAAUCAUUUUCUGCGGCUACCAAUAGUAACUAAAAGCCAUUCUGUUUCUCCCGUUUGAUGAUGAAGAAACAUCAUCCCCAUAGUACUAGUAGGACCACAGACGACUCUUUACAUCCACAAAGGGACAUUAUAAUGAAUCCAUCCAAGAACAUUAAAGGCUGGAAAAGUUGGAUCAUCUUACUUUCUAAGGAAAAAUGUUACUAGACAAGGAACAACAAUCCCCACUCUGAAAUGUUACACAUUUCUAUAGGCUGUUGAUGAUCACUAUCUCUUUCAAAUUAAAGGUUGGAGGAAAAAAAGAAGUUCAUAUUCUUAAUUUUCUAAAAAAAACAAAAGGAUAGGUGGUAAAUCAAAAGUUAGGUACAAAUUCAUGAGGUAAAUCAUCAGUUAACCCAAAAAGUUAUUAGCUCAACAAACAACUAAUAGACAUAAAAAGGAAGAAAAGUUUAAAACCUAAGCUCAACCUUAAAAGCCAUUCUUUUUUUUGCCUGUACUAUAUGUCAUUCCAGCAACUGAUAUUCUCUUUCUCAACCCUAACAAAGUACACUAUAGAUCCUGUGAGCAGAAAAGAGACCCUAAUAUUAAUACAUCCUAACAUAUAGAUAGUUUUUUUCUUUUCCUCCAAGGAAAAGAAGAGUACAAUUCCAAAUUAUAGGGAGCCCUGAAUUGGCUAAUAAUUUAUUGAACAUCCUUUUUAUUAGACAAAUCUAAAUCUGUUCGAAACGAAAACAUGUGUUAGAUAACACCAAAUAAUAGUGUUACCGUCACACUGAAAAGUUUCCGUGCCAAAGAUUGGAUAUAUAGCUAGUAUUAUCCACGGUCCAAUUUGAUGCUUACCCAGAAUGACAAUAUGCUACAUCUAAUUAAUAUAAAGAUCUCAUUCAGUGAUCCGAAAUAGUAAUAACAUACAGUAGUACAGUUUGUUAUUCUUAAACCUUGAAACUCUUAUUGUAGUUGGUUUACCUUUCCUCUCUCUGAACCUUUCUUUUUAUGGCAAUAUUUAAAGUCGUAAAACCUAAUUUUAGCUUCUUUAUUUUGUUUUGUUAUGUUAAGGAUUAAAUUAGUUAGGUAACAUGAAGAUUAUGACAUAUAAUUAUUACAGACAAUGUGUGAGAUUAAAGAUUGUUCAUGUUCUCCCUGUUGCCACACACACACAGCCUUGAUUAAUUCCUACACAAAGGUGUUCGGCCCUUCAAUUAGCCUGCAUAUUUUGCGAAAAUCAUUGCACUUCCAUGGCCUUUGCAGCAUUAAGAAAACUACUUAAAUGAACGUUGCGUAUGGUACGCGUACGUAACCCAUGAAAAAAAAAACCCCCCAAGAAAACUGGAAGAAGUGCAAAAUGAAAACCUAGAAUAUUUAAUAGCAUGCUCAAGCUCAAAUUGUGCUACUUUAAUCUACUCAUGCGGCUUACAUUUAUUUGCAGAGUUUUUGAGCAUUUGCAACCAGCCAUAGCCCACAGCUCACAAGUUCACAACCCCUCUAAUAUUGGCCCUGAUCGGCUGAACAUGACUCUGUCAAAAAAACCAUUCCCACUCAACUCGUCAAAACUUGUUUGCCAACAAAUUGACAGGAUGGGAAAGAAAUCUCGUGUUACUCAUACAAUUGGUGCACACGAUUCCAAACGAGUUAUUUGGUGAAAAUUUAGAUUAUGUCAAAGUCACACAGUCCUUUUUUGGUCCCAUCGUAUUAGUAUACUCAAGUUUUACAUGAUUAGGAAAGAAUAUAAUAUACAGAUUUUUCUCCUAUUCACAUUCAAAAGUACCGUGCGGACGCUAUAUAUUUGUUAUUUUCCCUCCUUGCUUUUCUCUCUGUUUACAAUGGCGUUUGCACGGUAAUACCGUUUUGUAUAUAUGAUAUAAUACAUUUUAUGAGCAAAGGAAUCCAUAAAAAGUGACUAAAUAAGAUGCGUUUUGUGUAGUCUUUUGAGCCAAAGUGGUGGUGGUCUAAGCCAUAUAAUAAGCAUCUUACAGAUAAAUGAAUUAAUUAAGGAUGCCAAGCUUUGAGAAUGAGUGGGUGGAGUCUCUUUAGAAGCUUAUUAGGGCUCUUUUUGAAGUCUUUUUGGUUGGGCACAUAGCUUUUGAGUCUCAUCCCCUCGGCAGAAUUUGCAUCGGUUUCACAUCAUUGUCCAUGCCUAGCUACCUGCCUUUAUCAUCGAUCCCCUUUCUCGUCUUUCACGGGGAAAACUGCUUUUCAUGAAGGUGAAAAAAAACCCCAUAAUUUUGGUCUCUUCUUUCUCAUUUUGUCUUCAACCUUACCUUUAAUCUCUUCGAUACAAAAGCUUGUCUCUCUUUAACAGAACUUUCAUACUGUUUGCAUGAAGGAAUUUCUUAGGAGUUAAGAAACCAACAAAGAAGGCAAAAGAGAUUAACGUGACUUUAGUCCACCAGAGACACAAAUAUAAUAUUCAAGUGUUUUUUCAACUUUUUUUUUUUUUUUUUUUGGUUUUGUUUCUCUUUCAAUUCUCUCCGAGGUUAAGAAAGAAAAAAAAAAUUCAAAUGAAAAAGUAUCAUCAUUGAAUAUCACCUUAAGUAUAAAGGGUCUGAAUCAUCAUUAAGGAAAAUCACCUUAACAUGUCCUCAUUUGGAGUAUAUGAUUGAACUCGAUAGGAGCACGGCUCAAAAUUAGAUUGGAUUGAAUUUGAUAUGAGCACUACUCAAUUUUAGGGGUUUUUUUUUUUCUAAUGCUUUCUAUUUAAGCAAAGUUAUGAAGUGGUAGUCAUCAAUUUCUCUUAUCUUAUACAUAAAUUUGAGAUUUUUUUUCCUUUCUAUAUUCAGUUAUUUUCCGGAAUGCUUAGUAGAUUCUAGUUUCUUUUCAAGGGUUUGAUGUUUGUCCUUUCAUUCAUUCAUUUACCCAGUGUUUCUUGAUGCAUCAUAUUUUCUUUAUAUUAAUGUUAUUUUGUGAUUUCUUUAUGCUAAUAUCCCUUGAGAUUUUCUAUUUUUUCACAAAACUCCAUGAAGUUUCAGAAAUUACACAAACCCUCCAUAAGAUUUUAAAUUAUUUUCACAAAACUCCUUUUCAUUGAUUUUUCGUCUAAAGAUUGAUGAUUUCAUACCAAAAAAAAAAUCUCCAAAUGACAAAGUUUGCCUUAGAUAUUAGAUUGCAUAUACAUUCAUUGACGUUAAUUUUGUCAUUUGCAUAAGUAUUUUUUUUCAAUGAAAUCAUCAAUUUUGGACAAACAAUCAACGAAAAUGGGUUUUGUGAAAAUAAUUCGAAACGUCAGGUGUUGUUUGUGUAAGUUUUGAGACCUGAGGGGAUUUUGUGAAAACACCAAAAACCUCAAGAGAUGUUAGUGUAAAUAACUCAUCUCGUAACUGGGAUCCUCUAACUUGGACUCACGCAUCGAACCUAUACCUAUAAACCUAGGUAUCCACAUCGAGUUUUAAUGGGUCUUCCAAUUUAUGUGGAGAUUACCAAAGGAGAAGAAGUUAUAAAUAUUUUAUAUAUAUAUGUAAUAUAUAUGAUUUUUUGGUCCUCUUGAUUAUGUAUUGUGAGUUUGAAUUUAUAUAUAUAUAUAUAUAUUGUGAGAGGCCCCCCAACACAUGAAAUCCUAUUUCCGCCACUGCUUAAACUUGGACAAAAAAGAUUUAAUUCAUCAUUUUGCUAGGGUUCCAUAAUUGGUCAAUUAGGGUUGAAUCGGGUCUCAUCAAGCUAAAACGAGUUAGGGCCGGGUUUGAAACCAUUGGCCCUGACCCUACUAAAAAAACAACUCGAGUAGGGCUUUAGCUAUGGGUCAACCCAGGUUUUGGCCCGUAGUGCCUGCCUGCAGCGACCCACUUUAACUUGUAGUGCAUGCGAAAUUACAAUUCCUGAAAUAUUAUAAUUUUUGCGCUAAGCACAAACUUUAUAUAGCAACAUUUUUUUUUCCACAUUUUAUUAUCUAUCUAUAUAUAUCUACAAAGUAAAAUGCCCUUAUCGUUUCCAUAUUAUGAGAGACUCAAACUAGAUGAUCAGUUUCCAUAUCAUAGAAGUGGUCUUGAUACUUGGAAAUGAAGAAUAAAAUUAAGAUGUUUAUAUAAAUCGAUCAGGACCAAAUGAUGAAACUCAACCCUCUUAAAAUUCGACACUGAUAAUUUUAAUCACAUAUAUUCCCCCCUACACUCUACACUUUUGAAUAAAAGGCUUGAAUCCUACCAUCUAGUAGCUAAACGAUAUGAUAAGAUGAAAUUUAAUAUUUGAUCAAAUUAUUCUUUCUCUGGACUAUUUCUUGAGUAAAAAAUACAUCUUAUAACCUUAGAAGCUAAUGAAGAAUUACUAAUCUUUUUUUUUCUUCUCUCCCAUCAGGAAGCGCCAAAAUCGAUCAAAUUAAUAAUGGAGAAGAAAUACUCGAAUUUAAAACCUUUUUCAAUAUUAAAAAACGAAGCACUAUAGUAGAGAAAGAUCGAAACAAAUAGUUGUAGUAGUUUCAUUAGACAAAAUUAAUUAUAGAUUUCUUGUGUCCUUCCUAACCAAGUUUAGUUGUUUAAAAUUAAAUAAAAUAAACCCAUAAACACCUGGUGAUGCAAUUACAAAUCAAGAUGUUACAUCUGAUCACUUGUUAAUCCGAUACAUUAUUUUGUUUUGUUUUUACUAAUCUAGUUAAUAAUGGUCUCAUCACUACUAGGAUUAUAAAUCCUUCUAAUUACCGACCAUGUACUAGGAUUAUAAAUCCUUCUAAUUACCGACCAUGUCAUUAUCUUUUUCCCCCCACAUUUGAAUGGCUUCUAAUGGAUAUGGUGAGGCCAUUAAUCUGCAGUUAUGUUUAUUAAUUCUUCCCAAUGCUGGAAUCCUAUGCCGGCACAAUUUAUAAUCUCAUUUGUUUUUAUAUAAUUUCAUUUUUAUUUAAAUAAUUUUAAAUAAUAAUAAUAAACAACAUUGAAAUAGCUCAUUCAUUGGUGUAAUCAACGUAAUAUUAAAUCACUUCCGACAUGACAUGCUGCCUAAAAUUAUGCAUAUAAAGAGCCUUCCGUGACCUACCUAAACGUCAGCCAGUGCAAUUGUGUCAAUUAUAUAGUUAAAACAGCAUGGCUACAUUUGUCAAUUUUGCUCAUACGUGUGUUUUUAAAAUGUUGACAUAUUAUGUCGUGAGACAAUUAGUUUUGAAUCAUUGGCGAAAUGUGUUUAUGUUAAAAGAGAGAAAUAUCGAACACAAAUCAUCGAAAGCAAGAAUAAAUGUUCUAAAUCACUUGAACGAAUUGAGUGCACACUGAAAGUUUGUUACAUAUUGAUAAUUUGACAAGAUUGUCUGUUGGAAAAACAUUACUGCAAUGAGUACGACUAUGAAUGUAUUUUUGGAAGAAAGAAAUUUCAAUGGAGCAUUAUGCUGUAGUUUAUUUGAAAACAGUUCAAAAACGUUAAAACCAUCAUUUUCGCUAUUUACCCUCUUAAGCAUCGACAAUUAAUUGUUGAUUCCUUUCAUAAUUGGACCGUCCUUGUUGAGCCACGUGGAAUCUCUGCCACGUGGAGUGAAUACAGGGUCAUAUCAUUCUUGAUGAACGACUAAUUGGCCUAUGCGUAGCCAAGUGGGUGACCUUGAGCCUACGUAGAGACGCAAAGAAGAUCCAAAGUAGCGUAAGCGCCAAACCUACCCAUCCCUGUCCAUUCAUCCAACGGCUGCCAUCUUACUUCAGCCACCACGCCCAAUCGCAGCCGUUCAAGCUCUAAGCGUCGCCACAUUAGUUUAUGAGCCUUGUCCCCUAGUCUAAGCGUUGUUGUGUUGUUGAAGUCUAAGUUGCAGGUCGUUUAGGCUCUCUGCCUCUCUCUCCUCUUUCUCCCCCCUCUUCCUUCCCCAACCCCCCCCCCCCCCCCCCCUCUCUCUCUCUCUCUCUCUCUGUGCAUUUUCAUCUGCAAGUACUCUCAGCCUGUGAAUUUCACCAUUUUGGCCAUUGGGCUCACAGAAAGGCCUAAUCUUUGACAAACCAUCACAUUUUCUCAGAUACCCAUUUGUGCACAUUCAGCUAAUUUGAUAAUGGUAAUGUUGCUUUCUCCGUCUCUCUCUUUCUCUCUCUAGAAAUGUGCACCAUUUGGUCCAUUUUUGAAUCUCUACAUUUCAAUCCUCAUUUUGACUUUUGGGUUUGAAUUUACAGGACACAACAAUGCUGGUACCUCCAUGGCUGGAGCAAUUGCUAAGCACCUCAUUCUUCUCAGUCUGCCGUACUCAUGGAGACGCAGCCAGAAGUGAGUGCAACAUGUUCUGCUUAGAUUGCAGUGGUGAUGCUUUUUGCUUCUAUUGCCGUUCCUCUAGACACAAAGAUCACCAAGUCAUUCAGGUAGGUCCAAAUUUUUCAAAAAAUCUAAUCCCCUUUCUCUAAUUCACCUAAUCCGUUUUAACAUUGUGUUUUCUGCAAUAAAAAAUCCCAAAUUUUGAUGAAGUUUUAUUCUUUUUUCCUUCUUGGAUUUUCUUUUGGCAGAUAAGGAGAUCUUCAUACCAUGAUGUGGUGAGAGUUUCAGAGGUACAGAAGGUAUUGGAUAUAAGUGGAGUUCAAACAUAUGUUAUAAACAGUGCCAGAGUUAUGUUUCUGAAUGAGAGGCCUCAGCCUAAGGCUGGGAACAAAGGGGUUCCUCACAUUUGUGAAAUCUGUGGCAGAAGCCUCUUGGACACAUUUCGUUUCUGCUCACUGGGCUGUAAGGUUAGCAUCCAAUUCUUUCUUCUUUCUUCAAAAUCAAAAGCUCCUUGUUCUUGCUUUGUUGCUUCACAUUGUGCUCAAGCAACCAUUGACAAUGAUCAUUGCUUAUCAGCAACAUUAUGGAAUUGGUUUUUCGAUUGGUUGAAUGAAUGCAAAUUUUGAAGUAUUAAAGUUACCAUUUUUGUUUCCAAAUGAUAAAAGCUUGUAGGGAUAAAGAGAAAUGGGGAUGCAAACUUUACCUUGGAGGCAAAGAAUGAGGAGGGAAAUGGGAGAAGAGAAGGAAGAGGGGCAAUGAGAGAGGAAGAAGAGUUGCGUGAAGGCUCACAACAAGACAUAUACCCGCCCACGCCGCCUCCACCUCCUUCCACAACAAGAAGAAGAAAAGGCAUUCCACAUAGGGCACCCUUUGGGUCCUAAUUUGAAGAAAUGCCCUUCAAAAUUCAGCAAAUUAUAUUCACAACCCAGCAUUUGUUUUCUGCAGAAAAAACCAGUCUCUUUUCUUUGCUGUCUAUGUUCAAGAAAGUGAAAGGGGGUGCAAACUACAAAGCCUUUGGAAUUGGAGGUGGGGGGUCCAAAAAAAAAAUACAAAACAAAUGGGUAUAUUGGUAUUGGGGGUAUAGAAGAAGAAGAAAAGUCUGUUCCUUUUGGGUUUUGGGUCCCCAAAAACAACAAAUUAUCUCAUUGUGAAGAUGCAAUAAUGCGUAAUUGUUAUUGAUAGUUGCAAGGUGUACAUGUCAAUUAAGAAAUUUAAAGCGCGUCUUUGUGGAAUCCGAUUUUUAGUUUUUCAUGGGCCCACCCACCACAUGGGCCGUUUACAUAAAGAAACAAAAGCUUUUUAUUGUUUAUAUAUCUAUAUAUAUAAAGCAAAAGGCAGAGAAUGGUGAAACAUUCAAAAUAUCAGAAAAUGUUCUUCGUUAAUGUAAACAUUAAGAAUUAAAAUUAUUAAUUAAAUAAGGAUAAUAUAAUAAAUUCACAAUUUUUCAUAUUAAAAAAAUUAAAAUUAAAAGAAAUUUCAGAUAAUGGAUCUUAUUUUUAUGGAACACAACUAUCCAUUAUCUUUUUUUAAUUCUAAAAUAAAUUUAAAUUUUUUUAAAAAAAGCCUCUCGUAGGCGCAGAAGCGCAUGCAGAGAGGCUAGUAUAUAUAAAGCAAAAGACAAGAAUAAACAUUCAAAAUACUAGAAAAUGUUCUUUGUUAAUUUAAACAUUAAGAAUUAAAAUUAUUAAUUAAAUGAGAAUAAUAUGAUAAAUUCACACAUUUUUAUAUUUAAAAAAAAUUAAAAUUGAAAGAAAAAUCAGAUAAUGAACUUUAUUUUUAUAGAAUACAACUACCCAUUAUCUUUUUUAAUUCUAAAAUAAAUUUUUUUAUUAUAAAAAAACCCUCUCGCAGGCGCAGAAGCACGUGGAAAAAGCUAGUUGUUUAUUACAAAGUAGAGAGUAUGGUAAUAGGACUAAUCGACUUUUUCUUAUCCUUGCCAAGUUUGGGGAGCUCGGUGAAUUCCAAUUUUUUUUUGUUGCUUUCAAUUUCUGCCGAUGUGACCAAAGAACUUGUGAGGAUGGCUUAGUGGCAAGAGGGUAAGCAUGAAACAAGAGUUAUAAACUUGGACGUUCGAAAUAUAAAUCUUAUAAUAAAAGAUUACUCGAGUUUAUUUAAUACAUGUAGUUUGCAAGUGACCGAGUUUGGAGAGCUCGGUAAAUGCAACAUUUAGUUUUGUUCAAUUCAAUUUCUAUCAAUGUGGUCAAUGAGUCUGUUGAUAAGAGGGUAAGUAUGAAACGAGUUCUGAAUUCAUAUGUUUUAAAUGUUUACGAGUUGAAUUCUACAUUUAUUUUUGUUGACGUGACUUAUGAAUCAAUAAAAAUAGUGUGGUGGUAAAAGAGUAAGCAUGAGACGAGCUGUAAACUCAAACGUUCUAAAUGUGAACUCUCAUGUCACGAGCAAAAAAAAAAUCUCGAAUUUACUUAAUGCAUUUAAUUUGAUACUAAUAUAUGUAUGAAUUUAUCCAAAGGCAUUGUAACGAUUAAAAAAAAAAGACCAUUUUCCUAAUUGUGUUGUCAAUUUUUAGUGAAACAAAUUAGGAGAGUGACCUAUGCGGUUUUAUGGCACCGUCUAAGAUUAUGCCAAGCAAGGGGAAGCGCAACAUUUAGGUGGGGUGGAUGUGGAUUGAUAGGUGUUAGGGAUCACAUGGUGCCUCUUUUGACAGUCUAACUAAGAAGGUAGGUAUAUUAUUACUAUUUAUGAUAUACAAUUAGUGUGACCAUUGACCUUUUUUCUUAACUUUCUUUUUCUAGAGAUCAUGAUUGAACUUGACUCAACCCUUCAAUAAUUUUGCUAUUCUUAAACAAUUACAACUUACAAUAUAAAUUUCUUCUUUCUAAAUAAAAAGCGAUUACAAAUAAACAAAAACAAGUACAAAGCAACUAUCACAAUCGACUUCAUAUGAAUUUAAUUAGAACCAAAAGCAGGAGAAGAAUUACUCUCUUUUCCAUCAUCCCCAAAAAGAAUAUUCAGUUAUGUCCUACAUCCUUUUUUUUUGGUUCUCUUCAUACUUUGCAUAAAAUUAAAAAAAAAAACUUGACCAGUGUGAUUUUCUGGUUUCUUGAUUGUCUGAUUUGUUUGCCAUGGAUUGGUGUUUAAUCACAUCUCUCAACUCACACGCAAUCUCAGUGGAUGCUAAAGGUGGCAUCCACUGCUGCUGACAGCUGUUACUUCUUGACUUUUUCUGAUAUGCUCUGUAGCAGUGUACGAAAAUGGCUUCCUCAGAAGGAAAAGGCCCAAUCAUUAUCCAUGUCUAGUAGGGUUAACUGAUUUGAGGUCCAUCACAAGCAAGGACUGGGCCAUUUUUUGACAACAAUUAUUCCAUCAAGGACAGAACCAUAAAUUCUUAUGUGGGGAGAACUUUAUUUAUGCAUGUAUUCAUCUCAAUGGGUAAAUAUGAUUUGAUAAUGAGCUACCAAAAAAUGUGUAGGGUGUGAAAAAGGAAAAAAAUAUUUUUGAACAAAGUCAUCCUAGCUUCUUAUUUUUCACAAAGAUAACAAUUUUGUCACAAAUAAAUAAACAUCCUAGUAAGGUAAAAGAACUUGAUUCAACAUUAUAUCGGGCAAAAGUUCGACUCUCGUCUUUGAAAAUAAAAAAAUAAAAAAAUUUCUAACAAGGAAGAACCCCUUGGCCAUUAGCUAUGCUGAUACUCUGGCUCAUCCGCAGUUGGGAAAGAGAUCUUACUAAAACUGAGGACAUUCGAUCUAGCUGCCUCAUCGAUCGUGCCUUCAAUGAUCCACACUGCACAAGAACCGGUUUCGAUGAAGGAGAAGAAGAAGAAGAAGAAGAAGAAGAAGAUAUUGAAGAUGAAGAAGAGGGCUUGUCAUCACUUUCUCUGUAUAUGUCAAUAAGAACAUGGGAUUGAUCCAAAGACAAAGACCUCUCCAACCCCUUCGCAAAACUUCGCUGCUUAUUAUGCUCCUCUAUAGGCAACACCACCAGAGACACACAAUGCCUAAGCAAACAAUUUGGUUUUGGUAAUUGGGUUGAAUUCGUAGUAGUAAUAGAAGCGCUAGGUACACCCUGCUCUGGAUCAUGAGGGUGUGGUGAGUAAUUAAUCCCGGUUUCGGCUUCUGCUUCUACUUCUGCUUCCACUUCUCUGUCUCUAACUUGAUCAUGAUCAUUUUCCACAGGCAAUGCUGCCACAGAGACAAUAGGCACAGCUAUGGCUGCCCUACAAACUGGACAAUUUGUAUGUCCCAAAAACCAUUUGUCUAUGCAUGGAUUGUGGAACACAUGCUUGCAGUUGGGCAACAAACGCACCAUAUCUCCAUCUUCUAGCUCACCCAAGCAAAUCACACACUCGCUUUGAUCGACCUGAAAAAGUUCACAAUUUUUGGUUGAGUAUGAGAGAAUUGGGAUUGAACUUAGGACUUUCUCAUCAACCCCAUUGGAUUGGCUGAUUGGUGGUUGCUGCGAGAGGCUUGCUUGUAAUUGCAUCUGCAUCAGCCUCUGCCUUCUCCUGAGGCAGAACCUAACCACAAUGAAAUGGUAUGCAACUAUUGCUAGGGUUGUGGAGACUAUGCCUCCCAUGGAAAUCAGAAGGGGUGUGAAGUAAGAUCCUGAGGGUGCAGCUCCUCCCACUUGAGACCCAACAUUCUCCAUCUCUCAUUUCAAUUUGGGUUUUGUUUGGUUUUUGUUUUUGGUUUUGGUCUUUAAAACUAUGCCACUAUGACACUUGGCUGUGAAAAUAUAUAUAACCACAAAGAGUGUAGAGAGCACCCUUUGAUUUCGAAAUUGUAUGCAAUAUAUUUGGGAUACGAUCAUUCGAUGCGUUGAGUGUUUCAAGUGGUUUACACGUAGCUGUUCUGGUGUGGUCACUGAGAGAGGAGCAGUUUUGUGGUACGGCUUUGCCCAAGUGUAAGCAUCAGAAGCAAAAUGGUAAAAUUUGCGAUGAUUUUAAUAUUGAAAUUAUUAAUUUUUUUUUUUUGAGUGAGUGGAUAUCAAUAUUAAUAAAAGAUGAUAGAUCGAGACAAGAAAGAUUUGGUCCUUUGGAGAAGUUUAAGCGGUGCACCUACUUUGUUUAAAUCUUGUAUGUGAGUUUGGACAGUUGGAUUGUUUAAGGGGACAGGUCACAGCCGUACAGAUGAUGAGUAGGUGCAGGUUUAUAGAGAUUCUUCGUUCUCCAAUGAAGCAAGAAUAAUUUGACUUGGGUGCCAUGGAGACUCCGUCAUCAGUGGCUUGUUGUGGCGUGUGUUGUUGGGUUAUGGUGGAUGCUGACAAUUUUCCCACACAAGAACCCAUCUAGAAGCAAUAUUUUGUGUUUAAACUUUGGUCUCUGUCUGAUUUGGAAUAUCUGGUUUUGUUGCUGAAGCCGAUCCAGGGCCUAGGAUAGUAGGCAUGUUUGAAAUCCAUGUCAGAAUGUCAUGAUUUCUGUUUCAACAUUACUAUGAAACUUAUCUUUGUAAACUCGUGCAAGUUUCAAUUUCCAUUAGUAAAAGAAAGAACAUUCAAGAAGAAAAAUGGAUUUUAUGCAAUUAGAUUCUCACAACAAAUGGGUCUAAGGUGGAUAAAAUGUGUCUACUAUGGGCCGUCUUCACCAAAUUAAGGUCCAAGCUGUGAUGGCUUGUGCCUAUUUUCUAAGGAGUCAAGACAAUGAAAACAAGGCAAGAGUAUUACAAUUUCCUACCAAGGCAGGCUGUCUGAUUCACAUAUGUAAUAAUAGGUUUCAAAUUUACGUUCAUCUCCCAAUAGUGUUAAGUUUCCAGGUCUAGUCUAGUGGAAAAUAACCUUAACUUGUAGAUCAGUGAUCUCAGGUUCGAGUCCAUAUAACACCUUAAUAAUGUGUGUAUAAGAGAAUCUACAUCCCCGUAUAGUUUAGACUAUCAAUUGUAUUUAGAAAAAAAAUGUUCCCUUAAGACAAAUGAGAAGUUUUUCUCGUGCCAAUAUUCUUCUUUCCUACUAGUCUCUUAAGGAAGCCAACCUGGGAUUAGGAGGUGGGUUAUCCAAAGUCAAGAGCCCCAAUACAAAUUUCUUUGAUGUCUCAAUAAAAAGUAUCUUUGAGGCAUGUGGCAUGGUGGAGUAUAAUGAAGAAAUCUGUAAAGUUAUAAUAAAGAAAGAAAGCUAUGUAAUUUACUCUGAAGCUUUUUUCAGAAGUUUGAUUAAGAAAUAAUAAUAACGGAGAUUAACGUGUAGAUAUAAUUCUCCUAAGCAUCAUCGAAGAAAACUCUAUAAUUUACUCUGACAUUUUAUUCAAAUGUUUGAUUAAGAAAAUACAAUAUAUUAGAUUAGUAGACUUGUAUUGUCAUCUAGCUCUUGAUCCAAGGCAGAAAAGUCAUACAAUAACUUUGUGGGACUUGACCAAUAGCCACCACUCAUCAUCUAUCUCAAACAGAUACCACAGAUUCCAUGCUCAUCUGGAAUCCCAGUGAAUCAUGGUGUCCAAAAGUCUUAGCUUCAAUCUCCAUCUUCAUCCCCACCCCUCUUUUCCCUCUGCAAUUUCCAGAAUUAAUCCAAGACCUUGUAACUUUGUCACCACCACACCGUUAUUGUCAUCAACUACCAUAACUAUCAGAUGCAAUGCCAACCAUGACCAAGCCAAUUUCCACCAUCUUUCACUUGGAAGAAGCCCCAUUUUCACCACCAUGGCAUCAACACAACACAACCCAAGUCCCAAAUUCGAUGAGUUCGAAUCCGAUCCCACGCUUACAAACGACGAUCUCAAGCCCACAACACUUGAUCAAAGGACUUUUUCCAGGUGGGAAUUGGCUAGUCUUUGGGUAGGACUAGUUGUGGGGGUGCCAACUUACUAUUUAGCUGGUAGUCUUGUUGACCUUGGCAUGGCUUGGUGGCAAGGAAUUGCAACAGUUGUAGCAGCCAACAUAAUACUAUUAGUCCCAUUGGUCCUCACUGGCCAUCCAGGGACAAAAUAUGGCAUCUCUUUCCCAGUUUUAGCCCGUUCCUCAUUUGGUAUUUAUGGUGCUCAUAUUCCCACUCUUCUUAGAGCCUUGGUUGGUUGUGGUUGGUAUGGAAUUGAGACUUGGAUUGGUGGUGAAGCCAUUUUCAUUUUGCUACCAAAUUCAAUCAAACAGUCUUCUUUGUCUCAGGUCUUACCUUGGCUUGGCACAUCACCAUUGGAAUUUGGUUGUUUUAUUGUGUUUUGGCUUGCCCAAUUGGCCAUUGUUUGGAAAGGAAUGGAUGGAAUUAGGGAACUUGAGAAAUACUCAGCUCCAGUUCUCAUCGCACUCACUUCCUGCCUUCUCAUUUGGGCUUAUGUCAAAGCUGGUGGUUUCAGCCACAUGCUUUCCUUGUCCUCUAGGCUCACCUCCAAGCAAUUUUGGUCCCUCUUUUUCCCUUCCUUAACUGCUAAUAUAAGCUUUUGGGCUACUCUUGCUCUUAACAUACCAGAUUUCACCAGAUAUGCCAAGAGCCAGACUGACCAAAUCAUCGGUCAAGCCGGGCUACCAAUCUUCAUGGGGGCAUUCACAUUUGUUGGCCUAGCUGUAACCUGCUCGACAGAAGUGAUUUUCGGGCGUGUCAUUUCGAAUCCGAUUCAACUUCUCGGGCAAAUUGGAGGGUUCACAACGAUCAUUCUAGCCAUUUUUGGUGUUAGCCUUGCCACCCUCACAACCAACAUUGCAGCCAAUGUUGUGGCCCCUGCAAACGCUCUUGUGAAUCUCAGCCCUUCAAAGUUCACCUUCAGAAGAGGAGCUAUUCUCACAGCUUUGCUUGGAAUUGCAUUUCAGCCAUGGAGGCUUCUCAAGUCAAGUGAGAGCUUUGUGUACACAUGGCUAGUUGGAUACUCUGCUCUGUUGGGUCCAAUUGGAGGCAUAAUUCUAGCAGAUUACUAUCUUAUCCAUAACAAAAACCUAAGCAUGAAGGACUUGUACUCACUAAGUCCUUUUGGGGACUAUUAUUAUUCAGGAGGCUACAAUUUGGCAGCAAUGGCAGCUCUUGUUGUUGGGAUUUUGCCUGUGGUUCCAGGCUUCUUGCAAAAAAUUGGCCUUCUUUCUUCAAUAUCAGAUGCUUAUGUGAUCAUCUACAACAAUGCUUGGUUUUUCAGCUUUUUCUCUGCCGGUUUGCUCUACUGGCUUCUGUCAAGUUUGACAAGAAAACAGAACUCUCUGCCUGCAGAAGAACCCCUCUUGCCUCCUGCAAACUAAAGGUUUCUAUUUUCCAAUUUUUAUUCAACACAAUAAACUUGUAUACAAUUUGUAAAGAGAUGAACAUUUUCUGUAUAAUAAGGCAUCUGUAGGUUGUACUUCAAAUUAAUAAAACUUUCAACAUUUAUGAGUGAUGCAUUAUUUGGUGUAUGGUUCUCUCAAUUAUCAACAAAUUAUGGGAAUAGCAAGUGGCCAGUAGCUGGCCAUGUUGUGCAUCUUGCAGCUUGGAAACCGCGAGAGAGAGAGAGAGAGACAGAGAGAGACAGAGAGACAGAGAGAGAGACAGACAGAGAGAGAGAGAGAGGGGGUUUAAGGGUUUCGACAAUGGGAAGGCACCCAUAAUAUACUCAGGGCACCCAAACAAAACAAGACACCCAAAAAGGUAUACGAACCUUUGUUAAAUUUGAUAUUCCCACCCUGUUUUAUUCAGUCAUAGCCAUGAAGUAAUAUACAUUGUGAAUUGUUGUAUUACGAUGAAUGAGAUCGCAUUCAAUCAGGGUCGGCCUUGGCCCAAGACGAGCAGGACACGAGCUCAGGGCCCAACAAGUAAAGGGGCACCAAAAAAAUAAUUUUAUCCCAUAAAUUCAUAUGCUCUCUUUCUUUUUUUUCUUCUUCGUCUGCUUCUUCUGAUCUAUAAUUAGCACUGAACCCAUAUCCAUCAUCUUAUACCUAUGCUCGCUUUGACUCAAAGAUGUGGAGGUUUCUCUUUCUCUCCUUAUAUAUAUAUAUAUAUAUAUAUAUAUGUGGAGGUUUUUUUUUUUUUCCUGGUCCUAUGCAUUUCACAGCUCUUGUAUUGUUGUGAAUCCAAUUUGUUUAUUAUGUUUUAGUCUUUUGGGUUCUUGUGGGGUGCUUCCAAAUAUUUGGAGAAAUUAUAUGAUACUUUUUUAAUUGGUUUACUGGGAUUCAAAUGAAUGUAUGAUUUUGUGAAACAUACAUAACACAUGUUAGCUUCCCUUUCCGGACAAUGUUUCAAAAAGGCCCUGAAGAAAUUAAUUAGUUGAGAAAAAAAAAAAAAAGGGCAAAUUUAUUGUUAGGGUGUGCUUUUAGAGGGGCACAAUCUAGAGUUUAGCCCGGAGUUCUGAGUGGGACGGCGUGUCACCAUGUCCGCUGCUUUUGACUAGUCAACCUUGCUUUUCAUGGCUUUUUUUUUUUUUUUUCUCUGUUCGCUUCACAGCAGACAUAAGCAUAGGAUUCUUAGAGCCCAAGUACAGGAUCUUACCUCAAAAUUUCUCCUUGAACAUCAAACUCGGCAAUCUAGCCAAAAAGAUAAACAAAUUGCUUAUCAUGGAUGUUGAUUUUCAUUUCAUCAGGGAGAUAGUUCAAUGUAAAGAUCUUAGUGUGCAAUAUGUUCCCACCGAUGAACAAAUUGUUGACAUUCUUACCAAAGGUCUUCACAGUCCCAUAUUUCGAAAAUAUUAUUUCAAUCUCAGCCUUAAUCCUUCUCACGCUGAACUUGAGAGGGGAUGUUAAGAGUAAUCACAAAUUAUCCUGAUGUGGCACUUAUGAGCUGGAAACAGCUCAGAUGCUUAUGUGGUCAGUUCGUUAAAUAGUUCACGUGUUUAGUUAGAUGUGUAGUUAAAGUUGUUACUAAACUUACUUAGUGGAGAAGUAAUCUCUAGUCUCUAUAUAAGCAUCAGUUCUAGGCUUAUUCAAUGUAAUGAAAGAACACAAUUCAGAGAAAUAUUCAGAGCCUCUCUUCCUUCUUUCUCUUACUCUAAUAGAUUAUUUUCAUCAUAGUUAACAUGCAGUACUUCUAUUAUUUUCAAAUGUCCGGAGUUUUUGGGAGAUGUCACAAGUUCAAAUUCCUCUUUUUAUUUUUUUUUAUAAAAAAACCAACAAUUACGUAUAUAUGGCUAGUUUCUAAUAUAUGAACAUAUGUUUCUACUACUUUCAUGCAUGGUGAAGAAAUCUUUCUCUUCUACUAUUAAGACUAAUUGGUUUGCAUAUAUUGAACUUAAACUAUGCAAAAUCAUUUUUCUAUAAUUUUUCUUAAGUUGAGGAAUUACAUUGACCAUAGUCUUAGAGAGAUUAAUGAUUCUCAAAUAUUUAGGUUUUGUAUACAUAUAUUUGUCAUACAUAUAUGCUUUAGAGAGAGAUUAUUGAAACUUUAAAAACUGAUGAAAGGUCAGUUUCCAGUAAUACCAUAGGUAUAAAUUAUCUUAAACUUGGAAGUAUUAACCAUAAAUAAAUAUAUAAUGUGGAAAAAAAAACGACAACUGAUCUGAUCGCAUCCAUUUUUGUUUCUCGCAGGCACCUGCAGGGCACUUGAGACCGAAGAACUUAAUUGAAGGGACAGUCAACAGAUUAUGUUCUGUACAUAUGGGGGCGUUGAGCAUGCCUUUUCUUUUUGCCUGUUUAAUCUCAUCAAUGGUCAGGUGGAGUUUAGUUGGGAGAUGGGAGAGAGGAGGAGGAUCAUCACAGAAAUGUAUCUGCCUGUCUUGACAUCUUGCAUCUGAAUUAUAUCUAAUAAUUAUUAAACAGAGAAUUCUCACACCGGUUUCACAAAAACUACCUGUUAUGUUCUUAUUAUUUAAAAUAGGUUAAAUGACAUUUGAACGUAGUUUUUGUAAUAAUUUCUUCAUCUUUUAUUUUGUUUAGAGAAAGACGAUAAAUUGCAUUCAUAAUUCAAACUGAAAGACGAUCAGUCACAAAAACCCAUCUAAUUAGAUAUCUAAUAAUUCAUUUAUUCCUAUGUAAUUAAAGUUCCUACAACCGUAAAAGUAAAAUUCACGAUCAAACUAUAUUGAACGCAGGAUCUAGAUUUGAAACAUAACCACCACCCAUUUGAAUUCGAGAAACUUGAAGUAAUUGAAGCAAUAAGAUGGUCCAAAAUUAAAAUCCGACAAAAACAAAAAUAAUGAAUUUGAAAGAGGAAAAGCAGUGGUGAGGCGUGGACUAUAUACAGGGAAGGACAUAAAAUAUAAGGCAUACAUGUACGAACACAUAAAAUAUUGAGGAUCUGACGUGGAUACGAAGCAUGCAACGAAUGAGGUCCAAAAGGACAAAAUUAUGCAGAAUUUAACUGGGGAGCACAAACCAUUAUUUGACCCUCGAACCAGUUUCCCUCGUCACCCCAACCCACACACACGUUGCCUGUUUUGCAUGGUAGGGUUGUAUUGACUUAGAGAGAGAGACAGAGAGAGAGACAGAGGGGUCCUACAAUCCUAGGUCACUCGUGCUUAACAGUUCAAUAAUAUAAGGAUUUAUUAAAGGGCAUUGAGGGAAUUCGAUAGGAAACACCCCUAAUGAUAAAAUUAUAUAUAGUAUCUUAUUAUACUCUACUAAUAAAAUUAUAUAUAUAUAUACCCAUUUUAUUAAGGGACAUCUUUAGGGUCCCUUAUAAAUUUUUUUCCAACAAUUCAAAUAAUUUAUUUUUCACAUCUUCAUCCAAAGAUCAUCCUUGUAAAAAAUCAUGCAAAUUCAAAAUCAUUAAGGCAUCUAAUUGAGAUUUUAAAAAAAUCAAUAAAUACGGUGCUUCAAGAAAGUACUUAAAUUUCAAUAAUUUGGUUGAAUGAUCAAGUGAUAUCGGAUUCAAGUGAUUAAUAUAUAUAUAUAUAUAGUUCUAGAUUAGCUAGUUAGGAUAUAUUUUAAUCUAUAACAAAACUUGGUUUUUUGUUAGCUAGGGUUCACCUAAUCUAACAACUAAUAAAUCCAACAAGAAAUUAACAUUGCUAAUUACAAGGAAAACAGUAUCAAUAUCUGCCUCCUCCUGGCAGUGGCCAGCGGGGCCUAAAUUAUAUAUAAGAUGGGAGUUAGUUGGACUAAAUUACAAACCCUAGCUAGCCAUCGACUGCGGAAACUUCCUCAUAUAAUAAGAAUAUAUGCACGCCCACGUUCAGAAAAACUUAUCAUAAUUUUAAAAAAAAAUUAGAGACACUAAUUUAAGUACAUAGUUUGAGCUUAUCAUAAUUAUAAAAAAUAAAAAAAAAAUUACGUACAAUCAUUAAUCUAAAGCACAAAAGUUUGAGCUUAACAGCUGUAUGCAUGGAUAAGUUUGUCACUGAGGAGUGUCAUUAUGACAUUUUCUGUGUGUUUUUUUAAAAAUAAUUAUUCUUUGUGGGUUAGAGGAGAACAAGAUUAAUUGGUGUCCUAAUUAAACCAAUAAUUAAUUAAUUAAUUACGUACUUACUCUUGCUGCCACAUGGCACCAGCUUUAUCACAUAUGAAUUACAUCAUAUGGAUUAUGAUCGGACGUCACAAAGAAAAUGGGGCAAUGACUCAGCCAGAAAAUAUAACCCACAACAAAAUGUCAACAAUCGAUCACGACCGGCUGCUAGGUCUCCAUGCAAGGGUUUUACUAGCACACACACAUACAUAUUUAAUUCAGAUGAAUCUAGAUAGUCUACGUUUUGUGCAGGGGAAGAAUUCAGAUCGAGAAUUAUUAUUAAUUAUUCGGUUGAGUUUUUCUGCUGUAGUUGAUUAGUUUCAGAGAAGAAUAUUCGGUCGCUCUGUACAUGUGUGAGUAUAGUAGUAUUAUUUUGUUCACUUGAAGUUGAAAAAAGUAAACUACGUUUUGUACAUAUGUUCAUAUGUUAAUGUCGCAAAUGAAUCAUUAGUGUAGUGGUUUGAAAUAAUUAUUUUUUUAAAAAAAAAAUUAUGAAUUCGAGUCCUACCAUUCGUAUUGGGUGUAUAAGUUUAGUAUAUUUUCGCCCUCUGUGAUCAACACUUCAUACACAUUAUACCACCCACAGGCUUCAAGUUAAUGCACAAACCUCUCUUUGAGGUAUAAUCAUAUAUUUUUUUUCGUACAUAGGGAUAUGACCAAACUUGUUAUUUGAUUCGUGAUCUAUCACCUAAUCUUGACUCCAUUAUAUGUGUCCACUUCAUCCAUCUUGACUAGCUAGCGUCGUGCUAUCUAGGGGCUAGGGGCUUGAGAUAUCUUCAUGUAUGAAAUAUCUUUUUGACUAAAGAUAUGAUAUUUACAAACUACGAUUUACUUUUAUGAAAGGCCAAUACGGUCACAAUAAAGCUACAACACCAAUGGUUAGCCACUCACAAUUAAGUAUGUCGAACUUACUACAAACAAUUGUAUAUCAUCAUCAUCAUCCAUGUGAAUCAGAGACUUCAUCCAACCAAGUUGAAACAAAUACCACAAGAUUAGAGGCUAAUAGGUCGUGAAAUCUUAUUUCCUUUUUGUUUUUAAGUUGUACUUUUUUUUUAUACAAAUGAUAAGAAGAAGGAGGAAUCAAACCUAAAACCUCAGGUGCAGCCACUUUUAAGUUAUUAUAUAUAUAUAUAUAUAUAUAUAUAUAUAAGAUAUAAAGAUCCAGCUAUCCUAAAAGCUAGAUCCAUAAUCUAUGAAUAAAUUGAACUAAAAAAAUUCUAUGAUAAAAGGAAGCCUAUUAGUAUUAAGGAAAAAAGAAGACCUAGAUAUUCGGUUGGACCGACAUAUAUGGUGACAAGCAGAAAGUCGUUUAACGUUCAUUAGACGUCGGAUAGUGCUAACCAAUAAUAACAAGUUUGUGUGGACUGAACGAAAGUAGUGACAAAAAGGAAAGAAAAAGCUUUGCAACUUGCCAAUCCUUUGCGAGUGAUUUACAACCAUUGCCUCUCAAGAAAAUCGUCGUUUUUCCUUUGGAUUCUUCGACAGAUGUUUGUACGUAUAUUCACCUGCUUUCUAACUCUUAUAACUACGCGUAAUUCAUACAUAUUCCUUUGGAUUCUUCGAAAAUUACAUAAUUUGUAAAAAUAUUUAAAUUUUACACAAAUAUGUGAGUAUCUAAUACACAAAACCAUAUAUAUGUACAUUUUGAUAUUCUUUUAAUUAGUGUGUUCGAAUGAAGAAUGCACAUUGUAGACCACAUCGCUAAUAGAAAUAAACGAAUAUGGUUACUAGUAAAUGUAGUAGUUUUAUUAAUUUUUUAUUUUUUACGGUUGAAAAAGAAGAAGAAGAAGAAACCGAUCGACCAAUGCCUAACUUGAUUUUACUUCAAAUCAUCCUAACAAAUGGCAUCAUUCAUAGAAUGAGUCCUAAAUGAAAAGGUAAGGUAUAAACACAACAAAAAAUUACGGCAAGACACCUCAUGGAUGGAUGGAGAUUGUGGUGUACUACCAAACGCAGUAAAAAAUAUAGGCUUGGUAAAGUGAAAAUCAAGUGUUGAAUUUUGAGUUUGACCAUGAUUAUGGAAAUUCAUACUAAAUAUAUAACUUAUUAACCCCAAAAUAAUAAUAAUAAUAAUUAUUAUAGAAAUGAAUCUUGUUUCAUACCAAAAUAAGUAAAUCAAUAAAGAAAAUCAAUUAAAUGUAUUAAAAUAAAAUCAAUAAUAAUAAUAAAAAAACCAUUAUGACCCAAAGAUGGAAAGGGACCCUAGCGAGCUACUUAUAUAAUAAUCUAUAUGUGAUGAGCUGCAUGCCAAAGUCAGCCUUGGUAUCCUGCCGUUUUAAAUACUUUGAAGGAAAGAGAGAUGAUGAACAGUAGGAAGGCUCUAGGAAAAAGAGGACAAAGCUGCCCCUAUACCUCUUGUCCCUACAACCUCGUGCGUUCUGACUCAAAUUUUUUUUUUUUCUUUGUCAACGGUUUCUGUAUCCAUGGAACCAGUCCUACGGAUUCGAAAAAACCGAAACCGGCAUCUCAAAAACUUGCUCCUGUACAUGUCAAGUCCUUCGCCAGUUUUUCUUCUAUAUAUCCCUCCAAAACUUUCCCAUUAUCCACCAUCUCCAUUUCCUCCUUGUUUAUUCCCACUAUACUUUCCUUUUAUUAUCUUUCUCUUUUUCGGAAAAAGAUAGUUGUGAGGUAGUUAUACGAAUGUCCUAACUGUUUCUUUUCAAUUUUCCUUUUGCAAACACAGUACAUCCCACGUCUACACAGAUAAAAAGUUUGUCUACCUGUGUGGGAUGGGAUGUAUGUAUACGCGUUCCUCUCACAAUCACGUGCUUGUGUUGCAGCCGUAUACAAGUUUGCGAUACAAGAAAUUUAACAUAAUUUUCCUUAAUCAUCCUUGCAGCCUUUCAGGAUUAGCUUUUGGAAUACUCCAUGUCUCCAACAAUGGCAGUGCUGACAACUGAGAAUGGGGAAAGUCAGUACCAGAAUGGAGUGAAGCGGUUGUACGAGAGUGGAAUAAGCAAAGUUCCAAGCAAGUACGUAUUGCCCAUUUUGGAUCGACCCAAUUCAAGUGACCAGAAACCAAAUGUGUCCAACCAAAAUCUCAAGCUCCCCGUCAUUGAUUUCAAGGAAUUGCAGGGUCCAAAUAGAGCCCAAGUCCUCAAGUCCCUGGCUAAUGCUUGUGAGCAAUAUGGCUUCUUUCAGGUAGGUCUUAAUUAGUAACUCGUAGUUAGGGACAUACUGAGCUUGUAAACGAGUUUAACAUCUUAAACCAUCAAAGUAAUUUGUGAUUUGUGGGUUGAUGCAGUUGGUAAACCAUGGCAUUCCAAGUGAUGUUAUAAGCAGCAUGAUCGACGUGAGCACAAGGUUCUUCGAACUCCCUUUUGAGGAGAGGGCCAAGUACAUGUCCUCGGAUAUGCAUGCUCCUGUUCGAUACGGAACUAGCUUUAACCAGAAAAAAGAUAAGGUGUUUUGCUGGAGAGACUUCUUGAAGCUAAUGUGCCAUCCUUUACCAGAUGUCCUUCCUCAUUGGCCUUCUUCACCGGUGGAUAUGAGGUGAGAGCUCGCUCAACCUAAAGCAUGGUUUUUUGGGGUAAAAUGGGAUAUGGUCGAAGUCACGUGACCUAUUAUAAUUUUAAGUUUUUGCUUCAUUCUUAUCACUUUUAUUUUACCGAAGCUUGUAUAUGUGUUAUAUUUACAGACUACAUUACUCAUCACAUCUCUGAAACAAUGAAUUCAAUUUGCAUAUAUGAGUCUCACGUGUAUUAAGUACGAGUCUACUAGAAAUUGGUCAACUAACGCCAUACAAAUAGUUGUAUUGGUAGAUUAUUUAACUCUUCUCUCAUCCUAUGUGGGUAAGUGUGCUCUUAAAGUAUUUGUUAAGAUAUAUUAUAACCUCCUAGAAUUAGGAGCUGUCCUUGCUCGUGAGAGGCCACAUCUAAUCGCUAGCUCCUUGUACCCUAGUUGAGCAAUUAGUUUAAUUCUUAAUUAACCAAUAAUUAGAAUUCUAAAAUGAUAAAUUUGAAUCAUCUUCUAGCUCUAUUCACUUAUACAUAUUGUUGUGAGAUUAAAUAUAUUGAUUGGUUUCUAUUCCAUAGGAAAUUGGCGGCUACCUACGCACAAGAAACCAAAUACUUAUUCCUAAUGCUAAUGGAAGCCAUCUUCGAGAGCUUACGACUGGUGGGAACCACAGAGAACAACACGACAGAAGAAGAUGAGAUGUUAAAAGAAUUCCAAGAUGGAAGCCAGCUAAUGGUUGUCAAUUGCUACCCGCCAUGCCCCCAACCGGAUCUAACCCUAGGGAUGCCUCCCCACUCUGAUUAUGGCUUUCUCACACUUCUUCUCCAAGAUGAAGUUGAAGGACUUCAAAUCCAAAAACAAGAUCAAUGGGUCACCGUUGAACCAAUCCCCAAUUCUUUUGUGGUCAACGUUGGUGAUCACCUUGAGGUGAGUUUAAUAAUUAUUGGGUCAGUGUUUGUUUGGUCACUUAAAAGUUAUCUGCUACAUGCAUUGAAUCACAUGUAAAUUACAUGGACGAAUAGAUUAUUAUAUAAUUCAUUAGUUAGUCUUAUCUCUAUUAGAGACGUAAUCAGCAUAUGAAAGUAGAAUACACGUGAGUUUCAUCUUCGCUAAUACAACUCUAAUUUAUUGUUUUCUUUUAACGUAUAUCCUAAGACUUGGUUUUUGUUGUGACAGAUAUUUAGCAAUGGAAAAUACAAGAGUGUUCUACAUAGAGUCUUGGUGAAUUCUACAAAAGGUCGAAUUUCAGUGGCCUCUUUGCAUACUCUACCUUUCAUGCGAUCAGUUGGACCGUCGCCGAAACUUGUCAAUGAAUCAAAUCCAAGGCUUUACAAGGACACUGAUUUUGCCAGCUUCUUAGAGUAUAUUUCAUCUCGUGAGCCUAAGAGGAAGAAUUUCCUUGAGUCUAGGAAAUUAUUUACUUAAUUAAAAAUAUAUAUUAUGCAUGGAGCCGCCAACAACUGGUGGAAAAUCUGCCUCGUUCGUUGACCUUUAGCUGUUCGAAUUACAUAUGUAGCAAUGAGUAGUUGGAAAUUAAUUUUCUCCUAUAUAUAAUUUUCUUUUUCUUUUUUGUAUUUUUAAAGUAGUUUUUACAAAUUAUGGGUUUUUUUUGACUCUCGUUGUCGCAGGGUUUUUUUAUAUAUAAUGAAAGCGUUUGAACUUUUAAUAAAAGCGCUUCCACAUAAACAUUCCUAAACAUACCCUUAAACACAAUUGUUUCUUUCAUAUCCAUUUGAAAGCACUCCUGAAAAACGGACUAAUACUCAGAGAAACCACGAAAAAGUGUUUUUGAUAUGAAUUAAAAAAAAAAAGGUCCAAACAAGCCCUUGUAUUAAUUCAUCUCUUGAUGAAGUUACGGCAAAAUCUGAACUCACAUCACUGUUGCAUGCUUCCGUAUGCAUUGGCAAAGUCAAGUUUAUAUAUACGUUGACAAAGCUUUCUAAAUGAUUUUUUCGUUUGGUCAGCAUCUUUUUUAAAAGCACUUAAUUAGGGAGCGACUUUCUUAAAUAUUAUUUGAAAAAUACAAUGCAAUUACAAAGGUUCAAGUCAGUCGUUGAGAGUAGAAAAAGAUAGCUACCGGUUUACUUGGCGAACUCAUUGAAUAGCUUCAGGGUCGUAGGGCUGUCCACUGGUGGUGCAGUGGGUGGAAGAUGCUCCACGUUUUUUUGUUUCUUCUCAAAAGUUAAAGACAGAUGAAAAAUCAACAACAAAAAUAUUUACAGUCUUGGGAUGAAUUUGAGUGAAAAAUGACUUGAAAGUGGGUUUAACCAAUCGCUGACUCAGGAAUUUUUAUAGGACUAGGUUAAUUUUAUUUUUAUUUUUAUAGGAGAUAUAUUAUAAGUUUUUCUUCUCUUGAAACAAAAAUGUGAAUAAAAUUUUGUAAAUCAAAUAAGGUCACAUUACGAGCAAAUAUAACACAAAGACGUACAAAAUAUAAAUAAAUACCAAAUCAAACACAUUGUUCAACUACUUGUGAUCCGAGUUGAGAAAGUUCCUUAGGAAUUGAAGUAUCAAUAUUAUAUGCAAAAUGUGUAUCAUUGUUAUCGCAUUACCACUUUUUUUUAAGAAUGAAUAAUUUUUUCCUCUCUUUGCCAGUCUAUUAUUAUCAUAUGGACAUGAUAUUCUAACAAUAAAUACUAGACACUAAAAAUCAUAUAUGCUAAUAAAUAAAUCAAGUUACAAAAAUAAAACAUAUAUCAACAAUCCCCAAAGCCCAACCCUAAAUAAUAGAAAAUUAACAACAACAAUUAAAAAUGGAAAUUGAAUUUUAAAAAAAGAGAAAAACUUAUCAAGAUUGAAGAAGCCACUGAAAAUAGGUUGGUACAGAGCUAUUUCUUCUAGGCUCUCAAAGUUCAAAUAUGGCGUUUUCGGUGGCUAGAAGAAAAAUUAUGAUGUCUGCUUCUAAUCAAAUGUUAGGAUUGCAUGUUUACUAUUUCCUACAUGCUUCAUGAGUGGGCUUAUUUCUACAUAGAGAGCUGAGUUUAUUUUAAAUAAAGGACUAGACUUAUUAUUUACUUUACUUAAAUUUAACUUAUACCAUUAAACCUAUAAAAAAAAAAAAAAUCAGCACUGAGGUGGAGUGACUGUGGUUUUAAUUUGUAUACUGGAUGUUCUAGUUUGUUUUGGAUGUUCAUGAUAAUUUUUUAAUUUUCGUACGAUUAGGAAUGGGUCGGAAAAUUAUGUAGCUUCUUUUUUCAUCGAGAGGAAGAUGAAGAUUUCAAACUUAUGAUACUCUAACCUAAUAUUUGAAAGAAAAAUAUCAUUAGAGACCAAUAGAUAUUUAUGACAAAUCAUGUGGUUAAUCGCUUUUUUAAACAAUUCCAAUAAAAAGAUGUGGUUGAUCACCCACUCAUUCAACAGAAAUUGGAUUGAAUUUUGAUCAACAAAAACUUUUGACAAUAUUCAAACAGUCUUAGGUCAAAAUUUCUGUAGCUGAACUUCAGUAUAGAUGGCUUUGAUUAGACCCAUGUUUCUAGGCCGACACAUGAUUUUAACUUGGACAAAAAUGGUCUUGCUAGCGUAGCCACGAGAUAGUUGUUGGCUGGAAUUGACUUGGACAUAUUAUCAACUGUCAAAUAAAGGGCACAAUUAAGGAUUGACCCAUGAGUUGCGAGAGAAUGAGAUGGAGAUAGUAUUUUUGCUCACUAUUUUACCGAAGGCACUAUCUUCUUAAUAUUUGACAAAUGUUCAUGGACAUAAUUAUGAUUCUAUAAAUACAAAAUAAAGAGUUAAUUAUGGUUAUUCCUAUGAAUACAUGUUAAAUAUUAAUAAAUGUGGUAAGCGUACAUUUGCUUAAAAUUGUGAGCAAAAACAUUUUCUUGGAGAAAAUGCAUAGGUCACGAAUGGAAAAAUAAUUGAAAGAAAGAAAAAGGAGGAGGGAGAAUUUUUCUAUAAAAAUUGAAAAGUUGAAUCAAGUUUUGUAUCGUUAGUAGUUAUAAUUUAAAUGAACAUAUAAACUUCUUAUAUACGAGAAAACAAAAAAUCUAAGAAACACAUGUUAAGGGAACCAAUUAGCUCUUGAUUCUAAUGAGAUUUAUCUUGUAAAUGUAAGAAAUGGUCACAAAUUACAAGUUAAACCGUCGUAUAAUUCGAUGUAAAAGGGAAAAAAAACCAAUAGCAUGUUUACUUGCAUAUAAUUUGUAUUUGAAUUAUUCUUAUUCCAUUUUUUUAAUUUAGUAAUAAGGGUGAUUGUGUUUACCCAAGCAAGGAAUACAAAAUUAUGUAAUUUAAAACCAAGAAUUAGAUUGAUAGGGGGAGUAAUUGAUCUCAUACUCGUUCAUUCUCUCCCGUAUUCCUUGCUUACUCAAUUCACGACUUUCACUAUAUCAAAUAAGUAAACAUACUGUAAAGAGGAAGAACAAUUUGGGUCGGUCGAAAAAGCUUGGGCCAAGAGUCGGAUUAAUUGGCCAAAGUUUUGGAAGUUCAUUCUUGCCCAUGAAUCAACUUAAGCCCAAUUGAAGCCUACAAAAAGCUGGACCAAAAUAUCUAAAGACAGUGGGAGUUGCUUACCGAUUUGCAUGUAGUCAGUUAUCUUACUUAUUUUUGACAAAUUACAGUUAGUUAUCUUCAACUUUGAAACAACACUGGCGUCGUACACUCUCACUCCUCCACAAAAGCCAUGCCUCAAUCUCUCUCCUUCUCCUCCUUCUCUCCCCUCCCAACCCCUUCUUCUCUCAAACGCACCACCCAAUUUCACUCCGUCUCCGUCAAAGCCUCCAUAGACAAAGAACCCACAUCAACCUCCAAGCCCACAACCACCUCCACCACCACAAACUCCAAGCCCAGUUCGUGGGUCAGCCCGAAUUGGCUCACUUCGCUCACCCGGACCCUGACCAUAUCCAAAAACGACGACUCGGGCAUACCCAUUGCCAGUGCUCAGCUGGAGGACGUCUCUGAGCUUCUGGGUGGUGCUCUGUUUCUGCCUCUGUUCAAAUGGAUGAACCAGUACGGUCCAAUUUACAGGCUUGCAGCUGGGCCUAGAAACUUCGUGGUGGUCAGUGACCCUGCUAUUGCUAAGCAUGUGCUGAGGAAUUAUGGCAAGUAUGCGAAGGGUCUUGUUGCUGAGGUCUCUGAGUUUUUGUUUGGUUCUGGAUUUGCAAUCGCUGAAGGCCCACUUUGGACGGUAAUGCUAUUCAAUUUAUUGUUGAAACAAAACAAAAUACACAACAAUAAUUGAAAUUAUAUUGGUGUAGAUUGUUCUAGUAUACAUAGCUCUAUUUUUGUGUUUUGUAUAUGGUUGUUGGUUUGUUAUAAUUGGAUAUGGAUGGUGCUUUGUUAAUAACGUGGCACCUUUUUUUGUGUCAGAUAAUGUGGUACCUUUACCGUAUGCAUAUCAAUUAGUAUUUCAUGAUUGUUUCAAAAUUUUCUUAUUUUUUGGAUGGGAAGGAGAAACAAAAUAAAGAUAAAGUAUUUUUGUAAUUUUAUUCCAAUUAGUAUUUCAUGAUUGUUUCAAAAUUUUCUUUUUCUUUAAACCUUAAUGGAAUCAUUAAUUUGUGUAAAUAAAAAAAUCACCCACUUUUCAUGACUUUAUCGGAAGAAAGUGAAAGCAUAUGAACUUAGCAACAUCACACAUACUUUUCGUGAUUCUACUCUAAGGAAAUGAAAAUAUGUGAAUGUAGUUAUAUAUAACGAGGUGAAGAUAUAAGAUUGCAUGCAUAUUACAUUAUUAUGAUAUGAUAAAUUGAAGUGUAUUACAUUCCACAAUUUAAUUGGGAGGUGAGAUAUUGGAGUGAACUAAAUUGAAGAGUUGAGUUGGUAGUUGGCCACAAUCAUGUCAUCCUGUAAUUCGUUUUGGUUCAGACUACAAAAUUUCCCAAUCGCCACUAUAUACAGUUUUGGAUUGUUCUAUCAGAGCACAUAUUUUGUUAAAAUAGUCACACAACUCAGUUGCACUGAAGAAUUACAAACCAAUUAUUAAUCCAUUUUCUCUUCUUUAGAAUGAUGGUUAUUAGUUGUUAUAAUUAAAUAUGUAUGGCGCUUUGGUAAUAAUGUAGCACCUAUACCUUAUGUUUAGAAUGUGUGAAAAUUGGGUAGGAGAAACUAAAGAAAAUAAAAUAAAAGUAAAGUACUUUAUUAAUUGUAUUCCAAGUGUUUAUGGAUACAACUUUUAUUAAUGUUAUUCCAUUUGUUUCUGGAUAUAACUUUUAUCAAGAAGGGGACAAAUUGAUAGAGAAGAAGAGAAAGUGUGUAGUGAGCUGUUUUCUUUCUUGACGAAACCAAAUCUUACAUUAUGGAUUGAUUGCCUUGUUAGACUUGUUUUUUUGCGUUUCCAGAGGGACUCUAUAUAGUCUAGAAUUCACUGUUACCCGAGUAGUACAUGGAACUAUGAAAUUUGGUCUCAGUAAUGCUUCACUCAUGUUAUCAUAGUUUUCACCCAUCAAGCUUUCAACAUGCGACACUAAAUAGAUGAAAGCUGGAUAUGUCUCAAUUGGUUGUUUUCCCCAUCUCAUUUGUGCGUAAUAUAUGAUUCAUAGUAGGCUAGACGCAGGGCUGUGGUGCCAUCUCUUCACAAGAAGUACUUGUCGGUGAUAGUUGAUCGGGUAUUUUGCAAAUGUGCUGAGAGAUUAGUGGAGAAGCUACAAUCUGAUGCACUUAAUGGAACAGCUGUAAACAUGGAGGAUAGAUUUUCUCAACUAACUCUUGAUGUUAUAGGCCUUUCUUUAUUCAACUACAAUUUUGAUUCUCUUAAUGCUUAUAGCCCUGUUAUUGAUGCUGUUUACACUGCAUUGAAAGAGGCGGAGCUUCGCUCUACUGAUUUAUUGCCAUAUUGGAAGGCAAGGUCUCUCAAGUCUCCUAAUCCUCUGCUGAUGUGUAUAUAUAUAUAUAUAUAUUUUUUUGGGUUUUGAUCCUAGUUGGUGAUGUCGUUUUUUGGUUGUUGCAGGUUAGUGCUUUCCGUAAGAUAAUCCCAAGACAAAUAAAAGCUGAAAAAGCAGUUUCAGUGAUCAGGAGUUCUGUUGAAGAACUUAUUGCUAAGUGCAAAGAAAUUGUGGAAGCUGAGGGUGAGAGAAUUGAUGAGGAAGAAUAUAUAAAUGAAACUGAUCCAAGCAUCCUUCGCUUUUUGCUUGCAAGUAGAGAAGAGGUCGGCAUAUACUAGCGUUCAUCAUGAUAACUGUUCUCUUAUAAAUUUAGAAUCCACAUUUAGAGAGCUUUAUUUUGGUUAGGAAUGUCAGCUACUUUGCUUGAAUAAAUGUUUAUGCUUUGACAGAAUUAAGGUUCAUGUUGAAUAGGAGAACACUAUUUUUGUUAUUUAAAAACAACAUUCAUCUUCUCACAUGGUAACAGUUCUAUGAAUGCAAACUAGUGAGAACACCUGCAGAUGCAUAUGCCGAAAAUACUCAUCUCAUUUUGCUUUGACUAGUUAAUACUCUGAUUUCAAUUUGAAGGGGUGAUUUGUAAUUACACUCAGCUUUGAGACUGCCUUCAAUAAAGUUGAAUAAGUCAUUUCCUAAACUGUGAGCAUCAAAAGUUAAAAAUGAAGGUUUUUGUGAAUUCCUAAUUCCUUUAUCAUUGCAAGCAGUUGUUAGCUUAGUUUUAAAUCUAUUUUUUAUGUGUAAGUGAGCCUAUGCUUGGUUGUAUUGGACUUCUGUAUAUCUGCAUCUAAAUGUUCGUUUGAGGAAGACUGAAGAUGUUGUUUAUUAAUCUAUAAAAGUAAAGACUAGCACGCUAUAUAUUUUGGUUCUAAAGUGAAGACUGAGGACUGAGGACUGAAGACACAAUACUUUUCAGGUAUCGAGCAAGCAAUUACGAGAUGAUCUUCUGUCUAUGUUGGUUGCUGGACAUGAGACUACUGGUUCAGUGUUGACUUGGACACUUUAUCUUCUAAGUAAGGUACCUUUCCUUGUAUGUGUUUCUUUCAUACCAGUAGGUUACUGAGGUAUCAAUUAUUACUCUACUCUUCAUGUAUUUGAUUAUUUUCUUAAUGCAGAAUUCCCACUCAUUGGUGAAAGCACAAGAAGAAGUUGAUACAGUUUUACAGGGACGGCGUCCUUCCUACGAUGAUAUAAAAAAUCUAAAGUUCUUGACACGCUGUAUUAUGGAAUCAUUGCGUCUCUUUCCACAUCCUCCUGUAGGUUAUAGUUCUUCUCUUCCAUUUAUGUGAACUGCAGUGCAGUUAAGAAAAAUUUGAAAUCCAUGUAUAAUAUAAGUUCAUAUUUACUCAUCUUUUUUCUUGGUGGUUCCACUGCUUUAAUUUAUUUAGGUUUUAAUAAGAAGAGCUCAAGUUGCUGAUGUGCUCCCAGGAAAUUACAAAGUCAAUGCUGGUCAAGAUAUCAUGAUCUCAGUAUACAAUAUCCAUCAUUCUUCAGAGGUAUCACCUUAUGUUAAGUUUGGAAAAACUUUCUGUUAUUUUUUGAAUUUCACAUUUCCUUCUUCUUGAUUUUAGAUUCCACCUAAACUUUGUCUUUGUGCUUCCACUCUAGUGCACCAUAUAUCUUACUUAACAACCAAAAUAUGAGGUUUAUUGAAACUGAAAAAUGAAAGUACAUAAUCGAUGCACAAUUUGUCCAGACCAGCAAUCCAACGAUGGAAACAGAACAUUGAAGAAAAAAGAAACUGAAAUGUGAAUUUGUUUCACUUAUUUUCUUGGCAAUUAAAAGUGUAUUUGGUGUGUAUUUUUCUGAUGAUUUUACAAGGUGUGGGAGAGAGCAGAAGAAUUUUUACCCGAAAGAUUUGAUUUGGAAGGCUCUGUACCUAAUGAAACAAACACAGAUUUCAGGUACUUUUAAUCUAUGCCCUUUUCGGGAUGUAGUAGCUGCUACAUUAUCUCUGGACUUUUUCCUCCUUGGUGUUCUAUCUCAUAUAGGUUCUUUCUUUGCAUUUUUCCAUUUACCAUUAAUUUGUGGGUGAACAAAAUUAUCUACGGUAGGUUCAUUCCAUUCAGUGGAGGGCCACGAAAGUGUGUCGGUGAUCAGUUUGCUUUGCUGGAAGCUAUUGUUGCUCUGGUCAUCUUCAUUCAGCACCUCAACUUUGAGCUGGUUCCAGAUCAGAACAUCAGCAUGACAACAGGAGCAACAAUUCACACUACAAAUGUAACGUUUCUAAACUCACAUGCAAAAACCUUAUCACAUAUAGUGUACUGACACAUAUUUCCUUAAUAUAUAAAAUCAAUGAAACUAACUGUCACAUUAUUCAUCACAUGUGACGGGAUCCAUGUGGGACGUUAAUGUAAUUAGAUGCCAUCUCUGUGACUUGUGAUGUUAUCAGUAUGUGGUACAUAUAACAUCACUCAUACAAAAUGCUUCUCUUUGGCCUGUCUGCGACUGUUUGUGAUCUAAUCGCGAUCGUUGUAAUAAUUAACAUGGUUUUCAAGCAGAUGAGAGGACAAAGAGGAAGAAGUUUUAUUUUAAAUCAAUAAAAAGGUUGGACUUGCCUCUUCAGGAAUUGCAUAGGGUCUCCUAACAGUGUGCUGUUUGUUGCAGGGUUUGUUUAUGAAAUUGAGCCAACGGCAAGCAAAACCAGCAUUCGCAACUUCAUCUUCUUCUACCUCUUAGCGUCUUGUUACUUGAACAACGCGUCAGAUUGAUGGGAGAAUCCUAGUGUCCUUUAGAAAUGCAUUGACGGGAGAAUCCCAAUGUCCUUUAGAAAUGUGAAGAGUCUGUACAAGUAUUGAUUACCAAAAUGAACUAAUGAUGUUUAGAAAGAAAGAAAAAAAAGAGAGCCAGAGAGAGAGAGAGAGAAGAAGCAAGAAAGACUGGUGUUUGUUUAUUUGCACUUUGAAACCUUAUUUAUUUCUAACAAAGAUGAGAUUUAUCUAAUAUGUCACAUUACUAAAUAAUCAAAUUAACAUUGGAGAAGAAAUUAGGAACUGGCGCAUUUCAAAUAAUGUUCAAUGUUUAUAAGAUAAAAUAUCAUUUGCUUUAGACCAUUAAAGAAUUUUUCAUCAAGAAUGAUCUUUUUGUUGUGCGCGGUGGAAGUGGAUUGCACUGGAUGGUGGAUAUGAAACCAUUCAAACAACAAGAGCAAAAUAUGAAAUAUGGAAAUCCAAACGACACCAAAGAUUUAUAUUGGUUCAGUCCGUGUGUAGCCUACAUCCAGUUCGAAGACAGCUAGAAAUUCCUAUAGUAUCCCAAAAGAGAUUAUAACCAAAUGAGAUUAACCCUCUCAACUAUCCUAAGAAUUAGAGUUUAACCCUCACAACCCAAAUCACAAUUACACCCAAGUCACUCUCAAGCUAACCACACACACGAGCCAAGAACGUCAAGUAGCUCACUAGGAAAGAACACACUAAGAACAAUACAAAGAAAUAAACCUCCUACAAACACAAGGAACAAAUGAAGAAGACUCAGCCUUUGAAAUGGCUUGAUCUUCGCUCAACAUCUUGUGUAGCCAAAGAGGAGUUUAUCUCCACCUUCAUGGUGAUGCUCUCUAGUGUUUCCCUCUAUGUGGAAGUGUGUCUCACUUCUGAUUUAGCCUCUCUGAGAAAUGGUGCUCACGGCACCUCCAAAUGGUGAGGCACAAAUGCCUACUCUUCCAAUGCCUUAAGCCUCUCCCUUAGAGCAACUCCAGUGGCAAGCCCAACCAGAGGCUGGGGGGAGAAAAAAAAAAAAAAAAAACCCAGUUCCAGCGAGGAGCCCAAGCCCCGGUUGGGAGUGGGACCCAUGAAGUCGGGCUGGCCCUCAGGCCAGUUCAGCCCUAGUUCAAGCCUGAGGGCUGGGCUGAUUUCAUUGCUGACGCCAGGCUGGCGUCAGCCCACUCAUUUGGUUUUUUUUUUUUUCUGUUGCCAUGUGGCGUCGUCUGGGCUCUCCGAUCGGAUUUUUUCCUCCAAUCCAACGGCAGCCAAUUUUUUUACAAUAAAAUAUUGAAAAAAUUCAAAAUUUUUAAAAAAAAUUACCCAAAAAGUAAUGAAUUUUUUUCUAUAAAUACCAGCCAAUUUUUUUUUAAAAUUUAUCUGAAAUUUGAAAUUAAAAAUUUUAUCCGAUUAUGAGAUAUGAAUAGUAUUGACAUGUAAGAGCCCGAAAAUAUUAUCCAAAUUAAUUAUUGAGGUAAAAAAAUUUGUGAAAAAAACAAAAAAAUGAAUAGUAAUUGCCCUUUGCUAUGGCAAUGGAUGGAAACACAAAAUACUAUUUGUAAGGGCAACCACUAUUUACGUGAAUAGUGGCUGCCCUAGCUCCCCACUUGCCAUGGCUAAGGGCAAAUGGGUAGAGUUGCUCUUAAAUCAGAGAGACUCACUAACAACUUCCACGUGAAAAGAAAAAAGCCAAACUAUGUGCUGGAAGUCAUCAUUGUUGUUGACAUGAAACACUUCUUUUUUAUUUUUUUAUUUUUUAUUUAUUUUGUUGUUGUUGAGAUAUUUAGUUAUAUACCCAUUCUUAGCACUAAUGAGAUAGAUCAAUCUUAUACCAUUUAAUUUCUAUAAACAAAAACAAAACAAAAAAAAAACUCAAAAAAUGACAGAAUUAGAAUUGUAAGAUUGAAGGGGUUGAAAUAGAAAAUAAAGUAUAUCAAAUACAUAUGAUUUAAAACUUACACGUUAGAGUUAAAUAUUUUGAACUUAAUCAUGUCUAAUUUAUUUUAGAAAGGCAAUUAAUUUAAAUUACAAGGUGUCGAUUAUUAAGUGUAUAUAAUCAUGUCUAAUAUAUUAUUAUUAAGUGUAUAUAAUAUAGUAUAGAAGGGAGGUAUACAAAUUGGGGGGCCAAGGCCACUCCUGGCCUAGGAGUGGCUCUGCCCCUAGCUGGCCCUAUUGAAUUUACUUUUGAUUAUUAAAUUACUUUGAUACCUUAUUGAGUGUUUUGGGAUUAUACUUAUUUUAAGAAAUCGAUGUCAGUUUUGUAAUUGAUAAGAAGUUAGAAGUCUCUUUGUUAUGUUGUAAAUGAACUUUAGGUGUAUUUUUAAAAUUCAUUUCAUAUAUAGUUUUUCUUAUUUCAUAAUUUUAAUUUUUUUAUUAAUUGUAAUAGUGAAUCUCCCUUUUUUUUCUUCUUGCCUUGGGUUGCCCAAUGGAGCCAAGGAAACACAAUAUCACAUCCACAUAGGUUUAUCAAUAAAAAACAAAGCCACCGGAAGCACUUGUGAAGCCAACAAAGUCAAGGUAGGUGCCCAUAACAAAAGAAAUCUCAUGCCAUCAAAUUUGAGCCAAUUCCAACACUUUUUUCUUGUCAGAGCUUCAAGAAAUUGGAAAUAUCAAUGGAAUACAUAAUACAUAUCUGUAAUAAGUAGCACGUACAUUCAUCUUCCUUUUGGCCGUUGUUUUUUACUUUUAUUACUUACAGCCAAAAAAGUAUUUUCUUCCUUCAUUCAUUUAAUUUAAUUUUUUGGAUGAUGAUCUUUUCUAUUGAGAGGAUCGAUAAUAUAUUAAACUCAUACACUAGAACUCGAACCCAGGACAUUACCUGAAAAAGCAAUUACUUCAAACCAUUAUACUAAUGGGUCUUUGUAAUUUCUUCUUUCUGUACUUUAUCUAGAUUCCUUGAUCUUACCAAAAGAUAAAAAUUCAUAUUCAUUAGUGACCAUUUACUAAUUUCAUUUAACAUUUAACCAAAAAAAUUCACCAACUAAAAAAAAUUAUUGACUUUUCAUUGGCUGAUCAUUUUUCCUAGACAGAAAUUAUCUUUCUUUUGAAAGUAAUUCUUACUAAAUUCGGGUGUAGAUUAGAGAGCACACUACUUGAUUAAGUCAAUAUCUGCUAUAAAUUGAUGAGUUGCAUUUAAAUUUAAAAUUAUUUUACAUGAAAGGAACCGUACACCAUGUAGAUCCAUAAGUCCAUUAGAAGAAUACAAAGAUAAAUAAAAUAAAAUCUCUAUAUACUUUCUCUUUUUCAUAAUCAGCCUAUCAGGUUCAUCACAUGAACGCCAGAGACAAGCUGACACCUCGAGGAUCGAGCCUUGAGUUUUUCUCCGCCACAGAAACGCUCCUAAACUCACAGCAAUACGUACUUCCUCUUCCUCCAGUUUUGUUUUUUUUAAUAUUUUAAAAUUAAAUUUUAAAUUUUAAAAAAAUAAUAGAUAAUUAUGUUUUAUAAAAAAUAAAAUUUAUUAUCUUAUUUUUUUAAAAAUUUAAUAUAAAAAAUAUGAAUUUACUAUAUCAUUCUUAUUUAAUUAACAUUUUCAAUUCUUAAUAUUUAUUUUUUGCUAUAUAUGUUAUUUUCUUAAUCUUAAUCUCGUGUUUUUCUUCCCUUAAUUUCUUUUUAUAUGUUAUGUUCUUCCAGUAUUCCAGAUUUGCUACUGGUUGUAGUUUGAUUCCUUGCUGUGCUUAGGAGCUUUUGCCUCCUUUUCAAUGAAUAUUUCGAUUAUCGUCCAAAUUAAAGGGUAUUUUAUCUGUAUUGUCCAAAAUAUGAGGAGAGAGAGUUUUAGAUAAAUGCUUGAAUUAAUAAUUAAAGGGUAUUUUAUUUGUAUAUAUAAAACAAAAGACAGAGAAUGGUGAAACAUUCAAAAUAUAAAAAAUGUCAUUGGUUAAUGCAAACAUUAAGAAUUGAAAUUAUUAAUUAAAUAAGAAUAAUAUGAUAAAUUUAAACUUUUUUAUAUUUAAAAAAUUAAAAUUAAAAAAAAAGAUAAUGGAUCCUAUUUUUAUGAAACACAACUACACAUUAUCUCUUUUAAUUCUAAAAUAAAUUUUAAAUUUUAAAUUAUAUAAAAAAAAAAAAUCUCUCCAGGCGCAGAAGCACGUGCGGAGAAGUUAGUGAAUAAUAAUAGAUGAUAAGAUAGAAUUGUAUUUUUCUAAAUUUAAACAGUGAGGUAGAAAUAACAGCAUUCUACCCACUUAUCAUAUUUCUCCACCUACCUUAUCUUCAAAAUUUUAUGGACAAUAUAGGUUUUGUAGAGAAACAGAAAGAGGAGGGAGGCACGAGAAGAAGCUGAAAGGUAAGUAAGCUAAUAUCUUUGAGCUGAACAUGGAGAAUCACGUCAGUCACGUGACCACCACCGCAGAGCAGCCCAGCAACGAAGCCAGACUGGGCAUACUGGAGCUGGCCAACAUGAUCAGCGUCCCCAUGUCCCUAAACGCCGUCGUUCGCCUCAACGUCCCCGAUGCCAUCUGGCAAGGCGGCUCAAACUCGCCCCUCUCCGCCUCCGCCAUCCUCUCACAUGUACUCCCCGACGGAGGCGGCGACGCCGAGAACCUCCAGCGCAUCCUUCGCAUGCUCACCAGCUACGGUGUGUUUGCGGAGCACCUGGUCAGCGCCGACGACGACGGCGGCUCCCAUCAAAGAAAGUUCUCCCUCACCGAGAUUGGUAAAACGCUCGUCACCGACCAAAACGGUCUGUCGUACGGCCCUUACAUCCUCCAACACCACCAGGUUUUGUAAUUUUAUAUGCUCGUUGACACAAUCUCACUCGGGUGUCAAUUGAUUUUUUACUGUUUUGUUUUGUUUAAGAUUAAUAAAGUAAAACUUGGUGUAAUUGUGUGUUUUUUUUGGAUUUUGUUUAGUACAAGUUAUAGUGGUGUAUUGAAUUAGGAUUGUAUAUGAUUUUGAAUUUUUUUUUUAAGUGACAGAUUUUUUGGAAAUAUAUAACUUUUAUAGAUUUUAUCCGGAUUAAAAAAAAAAACUUGUAUAGACUUUUAUUAUAAACUUUCUUACUUUUCUAUAAACUUUUUUAUAGAUUCAUAUGUAUUUACAUAGACUUUAGUCACAUUUUCUUCCCAACACUUUUUUUUUUGGCCAAACUAUGGAAGAAUUUUCAACACUUCCUGAAUCUAAUUGGGUUCGCGGUGGUGGAGGAACUGGAUUGAAAAAAAGAGAGCUUCUAGUUGUAAGAUAUCUGAUGAAACCGUCGCUGGAAUUGAGAUCUCAUUCAAAUUUUAUGAAAAUAUAAUUUUGUUUUUAUGUUUAAAAAAAUUAAUAUAAAAAAUUAUUAAUCUAUGAUAUUAUCCAAAUUUGAUGAAUAUUUUCAUAAUAAUGUUGAAUUUUAUUUUUGAAGGAUGUGCUAAUGGGGGCGUGGCCUAUGGUGCAUGAGGCUGUGGUGGACCCCACGAUAGAGCCGUUCGUGAAGGUGAACGGUGAGCCGGCGUACGAGUACUAUGGGAAGAAGCCGGAGAUGAACGGCUUGAUGCAGAGAGCAAUGUCGGGUGUAUCGGUGCCGUUCAUGAAGGCAAUAUUGGACGGCUACGAUGGAUUUGAAGGAGUGGGGAGAUUGGUUGAUGUGGGUGGGAGUGCUGGGGAUUGCCUGCGGAUGAUCCUACAGAAGCAUCCUAGUGUUCGGGAAGGGAUUAACUUUGAUUUGCCUGAGGUCGUUGCCAAGGCACCAACUAUAGCUGGUGAGAUUAAUUACUGUAUCAUUACUAGUCUCUCCGCACGCUCUUCCGCGCUUGCGAGAGGCUUUUUUUUUAAAAAAUUUAAAUUUAUUUUAGAAUUAAAAAAGAUAAUAGGUAGUUGUGUUCCAUAAAAAUAGGAUCCAUUAUCUGCUUUUUCUUUUUCUUUUUCUUUUUUAAAAUAUGAAAAGUGUGAAUUUACCGUAUUAUCCUCAUUUAAUUAAUAAUUUGAAUUCUUAAUGUUUGCAUUAACCAAGGGCAUUUUCUGGUAUUUGGAAUGUUUCACCAUUCUCUGCCUUUUGCUUUAUAUAUACUAGCCUCUCUGCAUGCGCUUCUGCGCCUGCGAGAGACUUUUUUUAAAAAAAUUUAAAUUUAUUUUAGAAUUAAAAAAGAUAAUAGAUAGUUGUGUUCCAUAAAAAUAGGAUUCAUUAUCUGAAUUUUCUUUUAAUUUUAAUUUUUUUAAUAUGAAAAAUUGUGAAUUUACCAUAUUAUCCUCAUUUAAUUAAUAAUUCUAAUUCUUAAUGUUUGCAUUAACCAAGGGCAUUUUCUGGUAUUUUGAAUGUUUCACCAUUCUCUGCCUUUUGCUUUAUAUAAUAAUUCUAAUUCUUAAUGUUUGCAUUAACCAAGGGCAUUUUCUGGUAUUUUGAAUGUUUCACCAUUCUCUGCCUUUUGCUUUAUAUAUAUAGAUAGAUUAAAUGCAUUAGUUAAUCAUCUGUUAAAUAAAUCUUAUUUUGGCAAAAUUUUAAAAAUUAUGAUCAUAUAUUGCAUUAAAAAUCAGUCUUGUGUGUAGAUUUUUUCACCUAAUUCUCUCGAUCGAUCUGCAUUUACCCUUCGUUUCUUCAAUAAUUACUUUCGCCUUUACUCGUAUUAAAAAAAAAAAAAAUUCAGUCCUAUGUUAACCUAAACGAGCUCAUGUAUAUGUUAAUGAUUUUUGCAGGAGUGAGUCAUGUUGGUGGUGACAUGUUCAAGUCAAUUCCCAGUGGAGAUGCUAUUUUCAUGAAGGUAAGUGCAAACCCAUUAGGUUGGGAAAAAACUGUUUUUUAUUUAAAACAUACAAAUGGAGAAAACUCAUUUGAUCAUAUUCUUCUAAAUUUUAAAUAAUGAUAAAACAGGGUAAGAAUUACUGACGCAUAUUAUAUAUAUAUAUAUAUAUAUAUAUAUAUAAGUAAGAUCAUCCAUGGACUUUCUAAACUUCAGCAUAUCCUUCUUCCAUUUACCCAAUCAAACCAAAUUGCUAUGCUUGAAAGCAUAUCCUUCUUACAUAGAAAAAAACAAGAAAGCAUCUUUCUCAAUAUAUUUUAUGACUCAUUUAACUAUUUUAAAUGCAUCAAUCAUGAUGAACAAGAUUAUAUAUAUGGAGCUCUUAUUUGAGGGACACCUUUGUAGGGCCUACUCCAUAUUAUAUUUCACUAAUUCAAACCAUCUAUUUUGUAGAUGAUCAUUCAAAGAUCAUUUCUACAAAAAAUCACUUGAAUCCGAUAUCAUUUGACCAUUCAAUUGAAUUAUUGAAAUUUUAGUACUUUCUUGAAGUACGGUGUUCAUUGAUUUUGUAGGACACAAUUGGAUAUCGAAACGGUUUCCGAUUUGGCUAAUUUUUUGCAAGGAUGAUCUAUGAAUGUAGACUUAAAAAAUAGAUGAUUUGAAAAAUUUUGUAGGAAACCCUAAAAAGUGUCCCUCAAUAGAAGGGUACUAUAUAUAUAUAUAUAUAUAUAUAUAUAGGCUUCUAGCUCUAAGCUUUCCAAAAUGAGUUAAUGUUUCCUUUAUUUGAUUUUGAGUUCAUAACACAUCAUUUAUUCAACAAAUGGUUAACUAAAUUAAGAAUAAGAACAAAAAGGAAACCUUUGGUUUUAAACCAUCAAAUUUCAUUUCACCUCAAAGAGCUAAAUACAAGAAGUAAAACACAAAAGGAGGGUCGUUACAAAGUAAAGAACUACAAAUUUUGUAAGGCAAUGAGCCGGGUGUUAAAGUAUGAUCAGAGUUUUAGUCGGUUUCUAGUGAGUUGGAUUUUAGUUUUGUGUAAUGAAUUUGCCCAUUAUCUUGUACAAUUUGUAGUUCUUUGACUUUUUGUCAAAUUUAUGUAGUGAUUAGAAGGUUAAUUAUCAUGAUUAUUAUUAUUAAUACAUUAAUUGUAUCACUUGGCAGUGGGUUUUAUCAACAUGGACGGAUAGCGAAUGCAAGCUGAUCAUGGAGAAUUGUUACAAAGCGCUUCCAGUAGGAGGGAAGCUGAUAGCUUGUGAGCCGGUGUUGCCAACGAAAUCAGACGACAGUCCUAGGACGCGUGCCCUCCUAGAAAACGACAUAUUCGUGAUGACAAUCUAUAGGGCCAAGGGCAAGAAUCGGACUGAGGAUGAGUUACGGCAGCUUGGUCUCUCUGCUGGCUUCUCUCAUUUCAAACCAAUCUACAUCGAUUAUUUUUACACCGUCUUAGAAUUCCAAAAGUGAUAAGUGUAGUUUGGCUUUAAUUUGGAAUUUUUCAACUGUAUGUUUCUAUUUGAUUAGAGCAAAUGAAGAGUAAUAUAUAUAAAUUAACUCUUUCAAGGUAAAAUACUCUACUGCCAACCAUUACACAAUACAUAAUAUGUAAUGUACGUGAUUAAAAAGAAUGUUAGAGUUACACGUGAGCAGUGGUGGUUCUAGGAUUAAAAAGCCGGUUGGGCAAAACUUACAUAUAAAACUCGACGAUACGAGUGAAUUUCAUUAAUAAACAUAAAAAGAUACACCUAGUUAGGAGGACAUAAUGAGUCUUACCCUCAAAUGCAUCUCUAUCCAUAAAUAAAAGUUCAACAAAUACAAAAUCUAAAACUAAAACCAAAAGUAAAUGCAUGUCCAAAAGUAAAACCAUCAAAAAUAAAGGUUGGGUGUGACUGAUUCAUGUCAAAAAGGAAGCAUGGAAAACAAAAUACCUUAUUCUUAGCAAUUGAAUGCUCAAGCCAAGUGAAUUGGCCAAACCACUUUUUAUUAAAUCGACGAAAGUCCCACCCUUCUAAGUGGCUUGGAUAAUCUUCUAAGUCAGGUUGACAUGGUCCUAAAAGAAUAUAUGCUCUUCGCGCAUUAUUUUGUUCAUUCACCGGAUAUUUGCAUAUUAAACGACGUAAUCCUGGAUCACGCUCAAGAUAAUUGAUAUUAAAAUCAUGAUCAUCAUCGAUUCUUUGAGAUUCAACUCUUUCAACUGGAGGCUCAACAAUGGGAGACUCAUGAAGAUUUUGCUCGUCACAUAUUAGAGUAAAUAAAGAAGUGCUAGAAGAUAAUGUACUAGAUGAUGACCCAUCAUUCUUUUUCUUAAAAAAAAGACAACAAAUUUUUUGUUCUCUAGGGAUUCCGAUUGUGAUCCGACAUAAUAAAAGAUAGCCUAUGAAUUAGAAAAAAAUUUAAUCAAACAUACCAGCAAAAAAUCAAACAAAUUCUCAUAAUAGCAUCUCAACAAAACCAAACCAAAAAUUAUAAUUCAUCCAUAAUUAAACCCUAGAAUAUUCAAUUUUAACAAAAUCUCAAAUCAAAGCUUUAGAAUAAUUCAUCCCUAAUCAAAGCUCUAAUUAAUUUCAACAAAAUCUCAAAAUUAUAAUUCAUCCAUAAUUAAACCCUAGAAUACUCAAUUUUAAAUUAAAACUAUAAUUAAAGAUAUAUAGCAAAGGAGAGAAUGAGAAUAAUACCUUGUUGGUGACAAAAGGAGAAGAGAAGAUGUUGUUGCCAAGUUGCCCACCAAAGAUAAUAGAAGAUGUAGCCAAUAGAGGAAGAAUUUGACCCAAAAAAAGAAGAAGAGAGAAACUUGUUGCUCUGGUAGCAGAGAGAAAGAAGUAGUCUAAUGACCAAAGAGAAGGAUAGAAAAGAUGGAACCACAUGGAUGGGCAACAUAUAGGUAGGAUUUGUUUUUAAUUCUUUUUAUUUUUGGGUUGGACUUAUAACACAUAUAGGUCUUUUUUUUUUUUUUGAAAAAUUUUGGGCUGGGCUUUGCAUAGCCCCGCCACUGCAUGUGAGUUAGUCUCUUUUUUUUAUUUAUCUAAAGAAGAAUUUCAUUCAACUGAAGCAACAUACAGGACUUAAAAAGGUGGCAUUUAGUCACUUAUAAAGGUGGGGUGUAAGCACACAUUUAGGUUUGAAUUCCUUACCUCUAGUCACCAAAUAUCAACCCUUAAACCGAAAAAUCAAAAGAAAACUCUAAACCUUGACUUUAAGUACCAAACUAUAAAUCUUGGAUCUAUAACUAAGUUAGAGUUUUGAAGCUUGAAUGGGCAUAAAAAAAAAAAAAAAAAAAACUCUCAAACCCUAACCGUCUUGAAAGUCACAUCAUAAACUUAGAGCAAUAAGUAUCAAAUCUUAGACAAAAUCCUAAUUUCGUAUCCAACAUCGCUUACUCCAAACUCGAACUCUAAUCCUCACAUCUUAAAAGUCACAUCAUAAACUUAGAGCAACAAGUAUCAAAUCUUUGACAAAACCCUAAUUUUGUAUCCAACAUCGUUUACUCCGCACUCGAACCCUAACCACUAACCCUAAGAAAUAACCUCUUGAACGGCCUUUUAGAGACGCCUUUGAGUUUGUGAUUUUGUAUUGCUUGUUGAAUUAUUUGUUUGAUAAUCCUUCCAAUUUUUUUUAUAUGUUUUUGUUCAAGACUUUAUCCUAGUAGGUCAUAUUACUAGUUUUGUAUGGGGCGCUUAAAAUCUCAGAACGGUCACUAAUUUUGAACUCUUGAUCAUCAGGCUCAAAUCUAAUCUCAAAUUCUAAACAUUGGACCUUAAACUACAAUACUUAAUCUCAAGACUCGAACUUAUAACUUGGAGCCUUAGAUCUCAAGUUCAAAGCAUCGAUCAUCUUGUUUCGGGCCAGACAAACUUCAAACCUCGAGAGCUACCUUAGAUUGAGAUUCCCAGCCUAGAAUGUUCAACCAAACAAAUGAAAAUUGAGAGUACUUGCGCACCAAGACACAAGGAAGUUUCCAAAUACUUAACCCACGAUGUCUUGUCAUCUCAUGUACAGCCAUGAAGCAUUGUACGCAUAAGCGGGCCCAUUGACGCAGCAGAAAAUCUGGGAAAUAUCUAAGACUUUCGAUUCGAUGGCGUCGAGGCUAAAAAUAGAAAAACAAACAAUUAAUCACACUUACUUUCCCCUCUUAACCCCACCACCACCCCUCACUCACCUUAAUCUUAAUUUUCUAUUAACUUCGAUGUUGCCGUUAAAAUAAAAGGCUAAAUUCUUCUCAAGCCAAUGAGUCUCUGACACGUCAGAAACCCGAAUGGUUCGCUGACUUCCAUGUUCUACGUGUCGAGUGCGGAGCGCAAGUACUGGAGGGGAAGCGCGUAGAGUGAGCUGCGGGAAGAGUGUACAGAGAUACUGUAGUGCAGUAGGAAACUGCAAUUAAGAAGCGAAGGGAGGGAGGCUGUUUCCCGAUUUGCAGUUUCAGUGCCUUGCAUUGCCCACACCCGCAUUUAUUCAUUUCUACGCUUACUCUCUCUCUCUCUCUCUCUCUGUUUUGUCAAAGAAACGAAUUGAUUGAAGAAGGCAAACGCCAAAAGUCGAAGGGAAAAUAAAAUAACAACCUUCGCAACAAUGACCAGCUAGCUAACGCUUUCUCUCUCUCUCUCUCUCUCUCUCUCUCUCUCUCUCUCUCUCUCCCUUGUUACUUUGGUUUUCUCGCUUCAUUCAGAAGAAUCAGACAUUCAUUCAUUUGGUCACACUGGUCAGACAUGCUCUGUUUCUCUCUCUAGCUGGUAAUGUUGGUGGUUGUGAUGGAGAUGUGUUAUUAUGAGAAGUAAUUAUGGAGUAAGAGAACUUAAUUAACUAAUUAUCAGCAGCAGCAGCAGCAACAACAACAAUAAGAAGAAGAAGAAGAAGGAGAAGGAGAGAUUGAUUGAGAGAAAAAUGUUCAGGCUCCACAAGAACAGGCCAGCUAAAUCAGGGGAGAGGGUUGAUUUCAAGUUCUCUCACUUUAAGGCCCUCCAGGUAUAUUCAUUUCUUUAUGUUUUCAUUUGUGCUUAAUAUUGAGCAUUGCAUUGGAGGUAGACAAUUAUGGUGUAAUAUGCAUUUUUUUUUCGUAAAUACCUCGAGCUGUCCCACACCCAAAGGAUGGGAUUAAUCUAUGUCAAUUCUAGACCUUUAUCAAGAGUUUUUGGAAAAAUAAUGAAAAUUUAUGUCAAAAUGUAUAAUGGGGAAGUGCACAAUUGUUGAAUGCUGCAAACCAUAAUCAAAUUUUGUUUUUGAUUUCCAUAUAUGUACACAAACACCGUAUCUUUUGCUCCUGGAAUCAGGACCGAUGAUCAUGUGGAAUCAAGUGACUCUGAUUCACACUAUCAUUCUGUUCUGUUCUAUGGAUUUUUCCUUCAGCAGAUGGAGUUUUUGAUGUCUUUCUUGCUGAUGAUGAUAUUUGUGAUUGCAGGUUCCUAGAGGAUGGGACAAGCUGUUUGUAUCCAUUGUCUCUGUAGAAACUGGGAAGCCAAUUGCUAAAUCAAGCAAAGCAGUGGUGCGUAAUGGAAACUGUCAAUGGACUGAAACUCUUUCCGAAUCGAUAUGGAUUUCGCAGGAUGAUUCUUCAAAGGAGAUGGAAGAUUAUUUCUUCAAGCUUGUCCUUUCCAUGGUAUUUCUCAUUCUCACUGAUUUUGUUACAAACAUGCUAUUUUUGGCAAUUGACUUUCUUUAUCUUCUGUGAUUCAAUGUGGACUUUGGUUUAUCUACUUGCUGAUUCCCAAAUGACUUUUUGAUCCUAGGGAUCGGCAAGAUCCGGCAUCCUUGGCGAGACUACAGUCAAUAUGUCGGAUUAUAUAAGUUCAACCUCUUCUGUUCCAGUUUCUCUUCCAUUGAAGAAGUGCACUUAUGGGACAGUUUUGCAGGUGUGUUAUAAAAAUUUAUAUAUUCUCAUUAGAUGUUUGAUAUGUUGAACAAAAAUUGACCCCCUUGACCCCCUUGUUAUGUUGAAUUGAGUCAACGCACAUUUCUUAUGUUUUGGCGAAUGUGCAUAGUCUUUGCCAUCUCCUUAAAGAUAGAAAACAUCUGAAUAUAUCUCCUUGGAAAAUUGAUGCCUACCAUCUUUAAAACAUGGUUGUUCCAACUGUUUCCUGCAUUUCGAUACUUUCGUCAUUUGUUAUGAAAAAUUAUUUCAAAUCUAUACCAUUUUUGGAAGAUAUUAAAGUACUGGCCUAUGCAAAGUCAAUCUAGAAGGGUGCAUGUGAAUACUCAUUGAAGGUAUCUGUAAAAACUUGAAUAUAUCCAUUUGAGUAUUCAUUUUCUUUUCACCAUUCUCCCAUCUCAUUGCACUAGAAGUCAUCUCCGAAUUGUCUUUUCAGCAGAUUUUUGCUUAUCUUGCUGUUUUGCAGGUGAAAAUUAACUGCCUAACACCAAGAAAAAGGCUCAGGUUAGUAUCAAAUGAUUGCUUACAUUAGUCUGCAGAUAAUUACUUUUCUAUUUGAUAGUGAAGAUUUUCAGUUCAUGUUUUUAGUGAUGAAGAGUCAAAAGAGACAAGCUGUCAGUUUGAAGAACCAAAUGCAAAUGGUCUUGAUGUCGACAGCAAAUCAAAUGGAUCUAAUAGUACAUUUGGGAGGAGCGUCGGAUCUUCCUCCAUGAAAGAUUUUGGCUUGACCUCAAAUCCUGGAGAGCCUGGCAGUAGAGUAUGUUUAAACUUUCCCCUGCUAUUCUUUCCUCAUUUAUUGUAGCGCUUGUGUUUUCAGAAUACUGCUACAAUACAAACAUCGCGUGCUUCUUUUAGUAGCUUUUCUUGUGUUGCUUCAAUUGAACCUGGAGCGUGAUCCAGAAAUUAAAUGUUAUGUUUGUUGAUGUAUCAAUUUAUCUAAUGAAGAUUUUCUAGAGAAAAAAAAAAAUUCUAAUGAGUGUCUGAUAUCUAGACUAUAUUAUUUUUCUGAUUUGCGUAGACCCUGUUAAAGGAAUAAAAUGCUAAUGAACAAGCUGUCUACUGGUCUAUCGUUACCAUGAAACUAAUAUAUCUUCCCCACUUCUUGUAGGGAAGUAGUUUCUCAGCAUCAGGUUCACAUAACAGCUAUGACUCGGCAGAGGGUUCCAUAAGGAGGGAUAAUGCGUCCCCAGGAAGCAACCUUAGUGGUGAAGGGAACCACUUGAUUGGAAGACAAGAUUCAACCGACUCCCCCAUUAGUACAACUCAUGGAAAUUAUCCUGCUGAUGCCCCUUCUCCAUCAAAUCAUUCAUCAUUUAAUUCCAGGAUUAAUCAUUCUCGGAAAGAUUUUACAGAAUCACCUUUGACAACCACUGAUUCUUCUAAAAACCUUUUGGAAGCUGCAGAAUUUACAAUUGAAGAGCUACAUGCGGAAGCUAAGAUGUGGGAGAGGAACGCGCGGAAGGUAAUGCUUGAUUUGGAGAUACUGAGGACAGAAUUCUCUGAUCAGUCAAAAAAGCAGGCAAAUUUAAAUGUGGAGCUUUCGGCAGCAUAUGCAGAACGUGAUGGCUUGAAGAAAGAAGUUGAACACUUACAAUUGUUGUUUGAGAAUUCAGUGGUGAAACAAACAGGUACUGAGAAUGUAACUUCUCUGGAAGAAGGAACGUCCCAGAAUGAGAAGGCAUUGCAGGAUGAACUGAAGUUCCAAAAAGAAUCCGUAGCCAAUUUGGCCCUGCAGUUGGAGAGAAGUCAAGAAUCAAACAUUGAGCUGGUUUCGGUUCUCCAGGAGCUGGAAGAGACAAUUGAAAAACAAGAAAUGGAGUUGGAGAAUCUUUCAGAACUACAGGAAAAAUUUGGUGAUAUGGAGAAUUCUAUCAAAAAAACUACGGAGGAAAACAGAUAUUUAAAGCUUCAGCUGCAACAAUUGCAGGAAUCAGAGAAUAAGUUGCAAGUCAUGGUGCAACAGCUGGAGCAGGCCCUGGAAGAGAAAACCCAUGAGAUAGAGGAUGGAUCGAGUCUGAACAAACAAACUCUUUUGGAUAUCGAGACGGAAUACAAAAGUAAAUUAUUUUUCAAAGAACAAGAAAUUGUUAAAUUGAAAGCAAAGUUAUCUGAAUCUCUCCAAGAAAGGCAUUCUGCAGAAAUGGAUUCCAUCACCAUGAAUGGAGGUGAAGCUGAUCUUAUCAGAGAAAUUGAAGUCUUGAAAGAAAAGGUGGAGGAGCUAGAGAGAGAUUGCAAUGAGCUGACGGAUGAAAACUUGGAACUCUUAUUCAAGCUUAAGGUAGCAAAGAAAAAUUCCACUGGGGGACACGCACCUGUUGAUCUUCCAGCCAGUGAGGUUUCAGUGACUGAAAAUAAAUCACGAAUACAGAAUGCAGAGGAGAAGUUUAAUAAGAAAGUGCUUGGGGAGAUUACAAACAAUAAUGAUCUUUCAGUUCCAGUACUUGAGAGCUUGAAAAUGGAACUAGAAAUUAAAGUCACUGAACUGGGUAAAGAACUGACAGAGAACAGGUCUGAGAUAGCAAAACUUGAGGCUAACUUGCUAACCAAAGAAGAAGAAAUCGGGGUUCUAAGGCAGGUCCAGAAUGAAUUAGAAGCUAAGGUUUCCGAUCUUCAAACAGAAAAAAUAGAGCUAGAGGAACAAAUGGAAAUUGUGUUAAGAGAAAGUGAUAUAAGCUCUAAGUGUUUGAAUGAUUUGCGGAAUGAAUUAACGGUGAUUAGCAGCAGUGUGAAUUCCCAUGUUUCCUCCAACAAGGUGCUUGAAAGGAAAUCCUCAGAGCUGGAAGCUGAUAAAUGUGAACUGGAUCUUCAUGUGUCAGAGCUUGAACAAGAAAACGUACAAUUAUCUGCACAUAUUUCUGCUCUGGAAGCACAACAAAGAUACUUGACAGAUGAAAAGGAGGCCAAUCAAUUAGAAUUAGACAAGUCUAAAUCUUAUUGUCUGAGUCUCCAAGAUGAGAUCAGCAGAUUGAAAAUUGAGAUGGAAUCUGAUAAAGUAGAACUGAAGCAGAAACUAAAGCACUUGGAAAGUCAGUGGUCAGAAGCUCGAGAAGAAGGUGAAUAUCUGAAAAGGGCAAACCCAAAGCUACAAGCUACUGCUGAGAGCCUCAUUGAAGAGUGCAAUUCUCUUCAGAAAUCAAAUGAGGAGUUGAAGAAACAAAAGCUGGAGUUGCAAGAGCAGUGUUCCCUCUUGGAAGCAAAGUUGAAUCAAUCGCAUAAGAGCUUUACCGAUUGCUCCAAAAGAGUUGAAGUGUUGGAAAAAGAUCUUUCUUUAAUGCUGGAAAACAUUGCCUCAAAAGAGGAAAGCCUGAAUUCAGAAUUAGAUGCACUUCUUGAUGAAAACAUGACAUAUAGGGAGAAACUUACCUUGGAAGAAAGUUUGUUCAAUGAGAUGUAUUUGGAGAAGGCAACUGAAGUUGAGAGUCUUCAGCAAGAGGUAGAACAACUUACCAAGAAAAUUUCUGCAACUAAAAAAGAAAGAGAACAGCUAGCUUCAGAUGCCAUCCAUGAAGCAUCCAGAUUACGAGCUGAGAAGGCAAUGCUUGAAUCUGCUCUCCAAGAGGUUCAAUCAAAAGCAAUACAGACUGAGAAUGAAUUGAAUGUUAUGAGAACAGAAACUGAACCGAAGCUACAAGGCCUGUCCGCUGAGCUUGCUGCUUCUAAACAAAACCAGGAAUCAACAAUGGCUGACCAUGAAAGACUAUUGAAGUUGUUUGAGAGUUACAAAUCAAGUGAAGCAAAAUUGAAGACCACUGUGAAUGAUCUUGAACUAAAGCUUACAGUUUCUGAUUAUGAACGGCAACAGCUGGUGGAAGAAUCUACCAAUUUAAAGGUUCAACUGCAGAAAUUAACUGAUUGUCAGAAUGAAGUUUUGGCUUUUAAGAAUGAGCUUGAUGCAACCACAUUUGAGAAAGAAAAAUUGGAAGCAUUACUUCAUUCAAUAUCUGAGGAAUGUGAAGAUCUGAAGGCAGAGAAGAGUUCAUUCCAUGAGAAGAUCUCAACAUUGGAGAAGGCCUUAUUUGAAUUGGAGGAUUGCAAACGUAAUAAAGUUCUCUUGGAGGAAAAAAUUCUGCAGAUGGAAGGUAAUCUAAUUGCUAAAGAGGCUUUAUGUGCACAGGAUGCUGAGCUGAAAAAUGAACUCAACCAGAUCAAGAGAGCUAACGAGCAGUAUCAGCAGAGAAUAAAGCUACUUGAAGAGGAGAGAAGUGAGUACCUAAGAAGGUCUCAAGCCCUUGAACAAGAACUGAAAUUAACUAGGGAAGAAAGACAGAAACAGAGGGAUUCUAGCAGUCCAAAGAUUUCCAGCCCCGCAAAAAACAGUACUAAAGUAAUUCCUGUUGGUGAAGAUAUGAAGCUCCCAAAAGUAAGUGCCAUUGAUUCUUUAUUUUCUUGUUAACAGUUGACGUCAAGACUGUAAAGUUAUGGGUUUCUAACGUUCUUUGCUUAAAACAGAAUGAAAUGGCGAAGAACAGCAGUCAUCGACGUGAUAAUAGAAGGAAGCCAUUUUUGAAGACUGGUCAGGUACAAGGACUUGCAAAAGAUCAGAAUUAUCCUUAUAGAAACCAGUAUCAAAGAGAGGUUAGACAUCUGAAAUAUUCAUUAUUAAUCCUGCUUCUACAGCUAAUGACACAGUAUAUAGAAUUGAUUUCUGCAUAGUAAUAUAUGAUUGUGGACUCCUCUCAAUGUUGUGAUUUCAUGUAACUUUACAAAGCUUCUGUUUUGUUAUUUUCCUUUUAUUCUUCGCCAUUACAGGACGAUAAUGGAAAUGAAAUUCAUGAUGGAAGUCCUCGUGAUGCUGGAGUUGACUAUGGUUUAAAGAUUAAAUUUCUCGAGGAUGAACUUGUUAAGGCAUUGGAGGCAAAUAACACUUAUAAAGUUCAGCUUGACAGGUGAGUGAAAUAGGAUACAUAAUGCCUUAGAAACAAAUUAAUAAGUAGCAUUUGCCUUCUUUCUUUAAAUGUUUUAUGUAUGAUUCAGUCUUAACAUGCAUAUCUAUUAUCACCCCGCAGGAUGUUGUCUGAGGCUCGACACAACGAUUCAGAGACUCGUCGAAAUUCGAAAGCUGAAGCUGAAAAAGCUGCAAAAGAAAGAUAUGAACGCUCGAGAUCAUCUCUAGAGACAGAACUGAAAGACAUUCGCGAGCGCUACCUGCACAUGAGCCUCAGAUACGCCGAAGUAGAAGCUCAGCGUGAGGAACUUGUGAUGAAGCUCAAAGCAGCCAAGGGUGGCAAAAGGUGGUUCUCAUGAAUGAUGAUGGUUCCGUUGAUGUCAUGACCUGUUGAAAAUGACUGCACGUCAUAUUAUAUUCUUGAGGAUCUACCAAUCUCAGGUAGCUUUUUAACGCAUCUUUGUACAUCACAUUUUCCCACCUGAAUGAAUAUUCAAAUGAGUGAAUUAGUGUAGAGGAGAAUAUGCCACAGAUUGUUAAUUACAACUACAGAAUUCAAAUAAAAUGAUUAUACUUAAUUAACAUUAGUUUAGCAUCUCUUUAGCACUGUGUGCAAUUUUUUUUAAUUAUUCUUCUAUCGCCUGGGACUGCAAAUUAAGCACAUUAGUUAGCUCUUGUUUGAUUGGGAUCAGAUAAUAUUCUUCCAAAACUUUAUGGAUCCCCUAUAAAUACUAAAAUUUAUUGUGUGUGCGGUGCACUGUGCCUGCUCUCACGUAGGGGAAAAGACUAUGGAGCUUUCAACUGUUGUGAAUUGUUUAACCACCAAUUUCUUCACCAAGUGGAAAAUCACACACAUUUUUUCAUUUAACAAAAAAUUCAGGCUAGGAAUUGUUAUAAAAAAUAUAUUUUUCCUCUUUUCGUAAAGACAAAUACAAAAACCUUUAUAUUAUAAAUAACAUAUAAAUAAAGGUUAUUUGUAAUAUAAAGAUUUUUGUAUUUGACUUUACGAAAGAGGAAAACUAUAUAUUUUUUAUAACAGGAAUAGUGCAAGGACACAAUUUCUCCGUGGAUAUGACGGACAAAUGCCCUACUACUAAAGUUACAUAUUUCUUAAAGAAAAGUUGGACACUUUUUUUUUUUUUUUUGCUUUCUGCAAAUUAACAUACUAAAAUCUUUCUUCGACAUAUAAAUCACUUCAAUGAAACAGAAUGUACAAAUCACCAUAUAAAUAUGAACCACUUUUGACGAUGGGCAUCACAUCUUUAAGAGUGGAGGUAUGCAUCAAGUCCGAGUAAUAUCAAGGAGGGAUGGAAUUUGAUAAAAGUAAUAUUAUCGGUUUGUUUUCGGUUUGCUCAAAAUUUAGAACGACUGGAAAAGGAAAAAUGAAAGCACACCAUACUUAUAAUGGUGUCACUUGACUCAUCAAAGAGCAAUUCAACUCAAGAAAGUAGGUAGGAAAAGAAAGUAAAUAAUAUUUCAUAAUAAUUAUAUUUAAAAAAAAGCACAAAAAAGAACCAUCAAAGAGAGAACCUUCCUUCAAAGGCAUUACGCAAUCAAUUGAAAGAGUAUCAAACUUUCUGUGAUUGAUAAAAAUAAGGGAACGAAAUUGCUGGUGUCACUAUGAGAGCAUGAAAUCUCAACUCAGAAUAUAAAAGCAAAGAACACUCAAGAAAAAAGCCUACCUUGCAUCACAUACUUAAGGCUUUUACAUUUUCAGACUAAAGAGGGUGCAAUUCCAUGUUAACAAAGCCAAAGAUCUGUCCGUGUACAUCACUUGAUUUGGCGCCACGCAGCAAACCCGGUCUUACCAGGCCAAGUGAUUCAUCCCCUCAUAGAAUCCAAAACCCAAGUUAUUAAUCAAUGAAUAAUAUGUUUGCAUGUAUCACAUUGCUUCAUCAUAUUUAUUAAUCACAUUGUUAUAACAUAUACAUACCUAUUAAAUCUUUAUCCUGAAUAAUAUAUAAGUUCAAUACACGUAAAUUAGUAUCAAUAUGUGACGGAGUUGCGGUGACAUAAAAAUUUCCAUAAGGGAAUUUGAUGGCUGAGAUUCACUUGUUGUACUGGUUCUGUGAUUUGUGAUAAAGAUUAAAAAAAGGGUCAUCGUACUAUGCCCAGUGUCCAACCAUUUGCCACUUAGCAGGCCAUGAAAUCUUUUAGUAUAAUCCUAUUGCAUCACACACACUCCCAAAACCUCUGUGCGCAACAAAAGCAUAUAUUAGCAAUGCCAAAUUGACAUUAUAAAAAAAUAUGUGCAUAUGUCUUUGUAAAAAGAAAAAAUGAAAGCCAAAGUGAAAGAGGAAGAGGUGUCAUGUAUCAGAUUUGAAGCAAUGGCAUAUCCUUUGGAAGAUGCUGAAUUAGCAACCUCCAUUUCUAGCUUUUUCUACUUUCUUUUGGUUCCUUUAGCAAAAAGGUCCCCACACACUACCCAAGUCAUCACACCUUUUAUUACUCUCAUGACCAACCCAAAAUUUGCUAUAACAACCAAUCCAAACAUUUGUGAUCAAACCCUCUUAGUAAAACUGCUGCAGGGCCAAACCCAUCAUCUCCUUUUCAUGCUUGGCCACUCCUGCCAAUGGCUUGAACCAAACUGGUGGGGGUGGCCUAAUUAAGUUUCUUCGCUUGUCUGGAUGAUGAUGUUGGUGUUUUUAAUUUCUAUGAAUUAAGUAAGUGUGUUUCUACUUAACCCCAUUAUAAGUCUCGCUUUCAAGGCAGCCUGGGGAAGAAUAAAGAUUGUUGAAAGUAGCUGAAUCUCCUUCUUGAGGAGGUGGAUUUCUCUAAAAGGGCAACUUCAAUCCUUUGGCAUUUCGGCUUCUGCAGCGUCCCUCUUCGCCUUCUACGUGUGUUCGAGCUCCGGGAAGGUAUCGUGAGGGCCCGCGGUCAAAGUCAGACACUGUGUGUGCUUUUCCUGUUUUCUUGUUUUAGGUAUGAAGACUUCCUGUGUAUGUACUAUGUAGUUAUGUAUUAUUAUGCAGGCCUUUGGCCAAAGCUUAAGGUUUGGUAUAUGCAGCAGGCCUAUGGCUAAGAAUACUUUAUGAUUGCAGUAAUAAUCUAUUUGUUGUCUGUCUGUAAAUCUUUGAGUAUUUUGCUUCUCUGCUCCCAGAAUCUUGCACAUUAAUUAUUGCAAAUUGCAUUUAGCCUUAUUACUAUCAGAUUCCAUAGCAAUGUAGCUUAAUUAUUAAAACACCUUUUUCAUAUAUAUUGUUAUCUGCAGAACACUAGCUAAUAAGUUCAUCUCUGCAUUAUACUAUGAAUAAACCUAUACGGUAAUUGCUGCAGAAAGCAAGAAGUCAUAUAUAUUUUAUGUUUUUUUUUUUCAUGAACGGUUGAAUUUCACAUCUGAAUGAGACCACCCCUGAAAUUGUCCCUACCGACAGAUAAAAUUAGUCCCUUUUACCCCAUGUCUUCUAAAAAUUUCAGAGAUGAAUUCUGGAAAAGAUAUAUGGUAUCGGCCAUUUGGCCAGAAUUAGAUAGAUAUAAAUCUUUUUAUCAGGAUUCUUCUGCUUGCUUAUAUUUAGGCGUAUCCAGUACUCAUAGACUAUGAUUUGAUCAUGGCCAACUAAAAUUAGAGGUGAG
RNAcentral lists this long non-coding RNA (55155 nucleotides) under Prunus persica (peach). RNAcentral describes it as "long non-coding RNA (PPER_LNC007387)". The record is from RNAcentral. Lineage: Eukaryota; Viridiplantae; Streptophyta; Magnoliopsida; Rosales; Rosaceae.